AUUGGAUAAUCACAAGUUGCAUAGAGGCAGUUAGUUCACACGAGAAACAGGGGAAGAAGAAGUGCUCAAGGAUUAUAAUUCCUCUGCUUGGAUGAUCACAACUUGCAUAGAGGCAACAAGGCAUGAUGACUAGAAAAAGGAAUCUUAAUUAAUGGCUACUAGUAAAAAAAAAGGUAACACUAGUAGUAUAAAACACAAGAAAGACACCACUUAUAAAUCCCUAAACAUAGAUGAACUGCAAAAAGAAUAUUCAGAGUUGAGUACACCAAGCUCCAAUAUAAACUGCUGACUAUGAUUGGUGAUCCCCCUACUUCAACCUCCUGAUGGCUACUACUUGACACAAAGUUUUCUCUAACUUAGCAAACCAACUUACAAAUCUCCUUGACUUCACUCUUGCUUAGAGCACACCAACUUUCCUAAUUGACUGCCUAGCUGCCUCUGCCUCUGCUGCUGCUGCUGCUGGUUUAGCUCUCCUUCUCACCUAGUACCUAAUUUGCAAGCAACUGCAAUGCAACAACCACUGACUCUGUGAUUGAUCCAUCUAUUUCUCCUGCCCUCCUCACUCACCCUCCUCUAUACAAACAAAAAAUCUUCUUAGGGGGAACCAAUUAAGUAAUAGACAAAGAAAAAGAGGUGGAGUAAACCCAAAAGAAAAGCCCUAUUGAACUAACGCCAGGAUACCCGGCGAUUUGAUGGAUGGAUGGAUGCUGACUGAAACCGAUGCAUGGCGAUGAUGGUGGGUGGAUGCAUGAAGGCAAUGCUAAGCACUGCCAUGACGACGAUGAUGACUGACUGACUAGUUGGAAGCAAGCAUGCAAUGCAUACAUACUAGCAUGUAUACAUAUAUAAUAGCUAAGGGGGACGAGACCGACCGUCCGGCGACCGAUGCCGGUGCGGGGAGCUCAAUCCCGGCGGCGGAUGAACUGCAGGAGGUCAUCGCCCUUGGGUUCAACCUUCUGGCGCAUCUCCACCACCUUCUUGUGGGAGUUGGAAUGGAUGGCUGGCACGAAGGUGGGGCUGGCCGCCGGGCGGUAUUCCGGGAAGAGGCGACCGGACUUGUAGCGCACGCCGCAGGCAUUGCAGAGAGUCUUGGGCCCCAGCGGCCCCGCACGCCACUGCGGCGUCUUGUCGAUCUGGCAAUGCGUGCACCUCCUCACCUCGCCAGGCGCGAGCGCAGUGCCGCUGCCUUCCUCGUAGUCGGCGUCGCCCUCAGCAUCAGAGGUGACCGGAGGGGUCGGCCUCUUGGCCUUCUUCUUCUUCUUGGGCUGCGAGUUGGACUCAGCAAUGCACUCAGGCUCCUCCGAGUAGGAGGAGGUGGAGGAGAACAUGGGCGUCGGCACCAGGAUGGUGGCCUCGGGCGCGGGCACAGCGGCGCGGAUGGCAGCGGGGAACGCAGAGGCGCGGGAGCGCUUGCUGCGCGCGCGCGCCGGGAUGACGAGCACGGGCGGCUCCGGGCGCGGCGACAGCGGCACAGACCACGGGCGGCCGCUCCCGGAGAAGGACUCCGAGGAGGACGACGCCGAUGAAGACGUCGACGACGCUGAGGAUCCUCCGCUGUUGUUGUUGUUCAUGUUAACGUUGGCGUUGUUCGCGCCGUCCUCGAGCACGGAAGUGGGGCUGGAGCUGCGGAAGAGCGCGUCCUCCAUCUUGUCGGGCAGCACGACGCCGGCGUUGGCACUCAGCGCGGAGGCCCUGAUGAUGGGCGCGGCGCAGGCGAAGGCCGGCUCCUGCGGGAUGGAGGUGUCGUCGAAGAGCCCCGACAGCCACUCGAGCUGCGCCAUGUCCAUGUCCAGCUCGUCGCACUGCAAAACAAAAAGCAAGGAAUCCCAUGUCAGAAACACCCUCCCAGUUCACUGCAGCCUGCAAUCGACGCCACUACUUUUUUUUCUUCCUUUUCCAUUCGAAUAGACUACUGUUCAAUCAGUAAAGCAAACGCCGGCACGUCCGGGCCGGGCUGGCCCACGGUGAUGGGUUUAAUUUGCUGUUGCGUAAAGGGUAGGGGAGGAAAAGGUGGGCUGGCUACUGGUAGGACUGGACUGGCGGUACUGCUGGUGCACACACACACUGGAUGGAGUAGUUGCUCAGUUGUUGUUGGGCUAGCUAACUACCGAAAGCGAUGGGCCCCCGGUACGUAACAUGGCCGGGCCCCCGCACCCCAUCCCCCCACCGGUAAAAGAAAAGAAAAUCUAUGGAGUGGCAGUAACUUUGGUCACGGCCUCAUGCCACCGACACCUCCACCUCCCCGGCGUGCGCCCGCCCAUGACCCAACCACCCCGGCCAUUCACGCCGGUGCGGUGCGGUGCGCCGGCCGUGAUUGUUCCCCCCGCUCCUCGCGCCCGGACAACACGGCAGCCGUGUGGAGUCAGAGUCACCUCCGUCCCCUUCCAUGUGACCACUAAUGGCGGUGUGCGCCGUGCGGUGCGUGCUGUUUUGGUGGUGCGCCGCGUGAUUGCCGCCCAGCUGUUUCGAACUUUUGAAUUUCGAACCCUCUGGAGGCAGGGAGGGGUAAGAAGAAAAAAAAGAGAUGAGAUUGAUUUUUUCGAAACUGCCGUGCGCGACCGACAGGGGCGGUUCGUCGGCUAGGUCAGGCAGGCGGGCACGUAUCCGCUCCUCCUUAAAAUCAGCCGUACGCGGGAGUCGGCAACCACCCAACCAACCGUGCCCGUGCUGGCACGCACGCGCGCCCGCCGACGCCGACGAACUGAACGAUCGGAACGAACGAGGGCAGAGGAAAAAAACAAUUACUCACCGUGCCAAUGUGGGUGUCUCCGAGGGCGCCGAGGAAGGCCGCGGAGUGGUCCCCGGCGGGCGGCGGCGGGGGCACCAUGAGCGACGCCUGCUGCUGCCCAUCCAGCGAGGCCGGCGCCGGCGGGGGGACGCCGCCGCCGAGGACGCGCGCGGCGAGGGGGCUGUCAGGCACCGGCGCGUCGAGGAGCAGCACGUCCUCCGCCGAGUCCUCCUUGGGGAAGUCGAGCAGGUCCUCGAUGUGGUCGAACAGCCCCCCGCACGUCGCCUCCAGCAGGCUCUGCUCGUGCUCCCUCAUCAUCUCCUCCAUGAACCGCCCGCUCGCCAUCGCCUCAAUCUCAAUCUCAAUCUCAAUCCCAAUCUCCUCAACCUCUGACUUCCUUCCCGUCUUCGCCUGCGUUACUCUGCGACCAAAGCACAAUCGGGAGAGGCAAGUAUAAAUACAGGGCCGGGAUUAAUGCCGACGCGAGGCGGAUCGUAAAUUUGGAUAUGCACGCAUUAAUCGGCAUCCAAGGUAAGCAGCCGCGGCAAUACAUGGCACCAAAUUAAGACAAGGCCGGAUUUUAUACACACCUAAUAUCACGAUACCGAUUCUCGUCUCGUCUCGCAAGCGGACGCGACGCUAAUCGGGCCUAUCUAUCUAUCUAUCUCUAAUCUCUAAUGCUACCAGAACGCGAUCUCCUCUGAGCUGUAAAACAAACAAACAUAUUUGUAAACAAACGGGUCCGGCCGAAGGAUAUAUAUCUUCUGCGAACGGAACCAGGCUCCUUUUUCAAAGUGACGGCAGCGCGCCCGCGGGCGGGCCGGCGCGGGGCCCGCAUGUAUGCGGUGCAUGAUGGCCCGGGCCCGCCCCGCGCCCCAUGUGAGACGCGCAUGUGACGUGCGGGUUUCCCAUUUUUCUUUUUCUUUAUUCCGAAGCAAAGGCGCCCAUACAGGUGGCGUACAAUGAGAAAAAAGAUGUUACAAGAAAAAAUCAAGGGGUGGGGUGGUUGUUUCAUGUUUGGUCUGGGUUGAUUCACCACCAAGGUAAAAGUCAAACGCGGCCAGCACAAGGAAUUUGUCAUUGGCUGACGUGGCGGCAGGCCAUUGGCCCGGACGCGUCACUGGCGUGCCAUGUGGGAGCAGAGGACGCGUCAAACGGAAGCCGCCCUGCCCCCUCGGUAAAGCGGCUAAUUAUAAUUAACGCCCCGCCCCCCGGUGGAAACACCGAGGAAUUCGCUUCCAUUUGCCCGAUCCGAUCGCGUUUACCGUACGGAUCAAACAAAGGGAAUCUCGCCGGGCGAAGCGCAAGGAAUCUCCCGGCCCUGCGUUUUCACUGCCCCGCGCGUUUUUUUUUUUUACUAUUUUCGUUCGUUUUCACACCGAAUUUGAAUUUGCAUAUUUUUUUACCCUUGGAUGCCCUGUGUUUCCUUCCAGAGGGGGAAUCCAGGCUGGAGGAGGGGCGAAAGUAGAAAAAACCAAAAAAGGCUGGGCCGGGGCACAAUGGAGGGGAAUACCGUGGCAGGGCAUCCCAUCCGUUCCUUCGCCCAUUCAAUUUCUAUCCAUAUCAGGGCACAGUAGCCCAGCCGCCGUGACGUCGUCGGCCGGAAGGAAAUUUCCCCUUCUAUCAUUGAGACGAACAACUUGACCAAAUGGGCUGGGAACUUUCAAAUUUUUGAAAAAAAACAACAAACGAGCCCCAAAAAUGGACUGGGGACCUUCUAGCUUGCACAAGGAAGAAGUCCAAACUUGGUGCAGUUUUGAAAAAGUCCGGAACUGGUGCUAUUUUCUCCCUUGCCAUUCAUCCUUUCUUCUUUCCAGGAAAGAAACUCAGAAUGAUCGAAUAUGAAUAUGGCAGGGAAGCUGGCUGGCGGCACGGCACAUGGCCGCGCGCCAGACAGGGUGGUGCCACAAAUGGCAAUUUCAAACGCAAAAACGGCCGGAAGGACGAAAGACUGCAGGAAGGCUUCUGAAUUUGAAUUCCUUGUGAUAGUAUCUUGUCUUCUUAUUUUACUUUCCCCCACUUCCAAUGAGAAGAAAUGACUGGUUUGCACACACAAACUGGAAUGGGAAGGGGAAUAUAUGCACCGCCGUCGGCGAUUGAUUGACUCACCUGCAGAUUCCCUUGUUUCCUCCAACCGAUCGAUCACCGGUGGCUCUUUCUUGCUCCUUCUUGGCCUGCUUGCCUUGGUAUGAAAACUGAAGAAAGAACUGCUUCUAACUAUCUGCUGCUGAUCAAGAAGAAGCUAGCUGCUGGCUAUGUAAACAAGGGACUAACUCUAGCUGCUAGCUAUCCUAGUUCUCUUCCUGCAUGAGCAUGGCUGUUCUAGCUUUGGUGUAGUCCGAGGGAGAGGUAGGAGAAAGCUGCUGCUGUCUGGUUUGCACCAGCUGAAAUUAUAUGGAGAGGCACCGCACCGCACCGCACUGUACUCCUAAGAGAGAAGAGGGCGGGGUGGAAAUACGGGGAGCUAUAUAGGUGGAGGUAAAUGGAAAGGAGUGAGGGGGAGGUGCGUGCACUGCACUGGCCCGGUCGGUGGGAUUCAAUUUAAUUCGAACCCUCUUCCCUCUCUCUCCUUCUCAAGCUGUGUCUGUAAGCUGAACCGAGGAAGAAGAGGAUGGAUGGAGCUAGCACAUGAAGAGACAGAGAGAGAGCCAGAUUGGGAAGAGGAGGAGUAUAUUAUACUACUAGAGAGGAGAGGAGAGGAGAGGAGGCAGGCUGGAGCGGGGUGCGGAGGGGAUUAAGUUAUUGGUGGAGAACGUGACGGGUGGAAGGUAAACUAAACCCAGCAGCAGCUCCUUUGACGCCAGAUCGUCUGAGCAGCAGGAAAAGAAGGCGUUUCUGGGUCUCUGUCUGUGUGUAGGGUUUUUGGGUUUAGAAACGUUGGAGGACAGGCAGGAAGAGAGUGGAGGUCCACUACGUCGCCCAAUUCACUUACACACGACACGGCUGACUUAUCGGCACACCCCACACGCGCACACACGGCCGGAGAUGGAGGAAGACGAAAGGGACGUCGUCGUAGUAGUGCCAUAGUGGUAGGGUAUAUGCGUGCGCCGAGCUGGACGAACGCGACGACGGACGGGCGAGGCUCGUGCCAACAGCUCGUGCCAUAGUGGUAGGGUAUAUGCUGGCGUUUUUACUGCGCGCAGGAUACAGGGAGACCGGGUAGCCCGUCCGUCCGUCCGUUGUAAUAUUCCAUCGUCCAACGGAUUUAUACCAGUACUGCUUACUACUAAUCGUACGGUUUACGGGUGCGGUUAGGGGAGCGGUAAUUAGCAGCGACGACGACGACCGGUAGCAGUAGCAGCAGCAGUAAGUGGUGCAGGGAGAUCGGUGCGGUGGAGGGGGUCACACGGUAGGUGAGCCCUCUGCCCUCGCUGCUAGCUGUCCUCGCCCUCCACUUUCCUGUCGUGACGUUGAAGUUUCCUCCCCCUACCACUUUCUCAUUUUUUCUUCGCCACCAACAAAAACAAAAACCCCGCGGAAAAUGCUACUGGCACAAGUGAAACGCCACCUCAGAUUUUCUGAGAUUUUUCAUCCCCUCCCUGGCCCUAUCCUGUAUGUCCAUGCCUACACUGUGCGUACACAUGGCGUUGCACCCCUUGAUUGCGUGGCACGGGCGGAGGCCGAGAGGGACGGCCGCAGCACCACCGUGGAACCGGAGUGGUGGACCUCGCAGUCAGUCGCGGGCGCACGGACUUUUCGUCCUCCUGUUGUUCCACGCACGCCGCGGUCUGGCCGACGACGGCCACGGCUUCCUUCCUUGGACUGCGUGCUUGCCGUUGCCGCGUGUAGACGGGAGGAAGGAUCGCCGGCCGUAGGCCGUAGCAGCUAGCACACGGCCGCCGCUAGCGUCCAGGCGCGUCGCGGUUAGUGUGGCAGCUCCGGCGAAGCAUCGCCCGGCCGCCUAAAAAUCGGCAGCCGCGCGCCCUGGCAUCGCUGACCCGUAUCCUGUACGCAUCCCGCCCGUACGUACAUACGCACGAGCCGGGCGGGUGAGAGGCAGAGGCGGCCCGUGUCUCGGCUCGGCUACGUGCUCCGCAUUCGGUCUCGGUUCGGUCGCCGCUGGGCCGGCCGUGCAGGCUGGCUCGCUCGCUCGUGGCUCGCCUGCGCCUGCGCCUGCGGAAUUGGCUCCGGGGAUUGGGACGUGAGAGGGACGCGGGCCAGUUUUUUGCGCCAGUUUAUCUCGGUGCCCGGACGACGACGCGUUGACCCGGGAACGCCGGCUGGACGGGUGGAUUCCAAACUUUCGUCCAAUUCAGUUCACGAAUUUCCCUGCCUACUUGGCCAAACUCGAUCGAUCGCCUGCGUGGCGUGUUGCCUAACCCAUCCAUGGCCACCUAGUUAGCUGUACGGUUCGUCUCAACUGACCGAUCCAUCGAUUGAUCCAACUUUACCGAACUUGGUUAACUAAGACACCUCUAGAACUUACUACCACUAGCAUGGAUUGAUGAUAAUGCAUGAGUAGAAAAAUGCUACUAGCACGCAUGUGGUAACACAUAGCACUGACCAAUGGUUAGUUGAUGGCCUCUCCUAAUCAAAUAUUAUACUGACAAAUCGCCACCGAUCGGAUCAAGCGAGUCGAUGGACUGUGCUACUACUAGCUGGAGCAGCAGUAUUAUUCAUUCAUGCACGCAGGUGGGCGCUAAACAAACCCCCGUCCUGCACAUGCGAUUAAAUCGCACCGCACCAGAAAGAAAGAAGGAUCAAGCGUGAGAUUAAUCUCCGGAAAAGGGGAAAGGGGCCGAGCGAGGGAGGAGUAAAGUGACCGCACAACCGAUGGUUGUUCGGGCCUCGCUGCACCCGCAAAUCAUAUGACCGGACCCACACCGCUGCUCCGCUCCGGCCUCCUUUUCGAGCCAUCCCGGCCCAAAUCUUCUCCUCUGCUGCUGUGCUCCUGUGCGACUAACUUGGGUUGCACUCCUUGUUGUGUGCCCUUGCCUUCAGCUUUACUCUCCCUUUCGCUCGCUCACUCGAUCAGCUAGCUAGUCGCUGCCCGUACAUCGACCCCGGAGCUGAGCUGGCCGGCGGUGUGGGGUUGGGAACUCGGGAGCAUCCGCCCACGCCAACGUCGGCCGUCGGAAUUCAGAAAGUUGCUCGUGUGCGCCAUGCAUGUGUGUAAGGAAAAAAAAAUGGUGCUGGCCACCGACGGCCGGAUGGUGUUCGUGCGCAGCAAAGCGGGGUGAGGAUGUGACGGGUCGAUCAGCUUGUAACCAUCAGGCGGCGCGCGCACCAACCCGUCGAUCUCGUAUGAGCCCGUCACUUGGAUCGGUCGGUCGAUCGAUAGCUCUCAGUGUCAUUUCAUGGGUUUCUAGAACGAUGGCAUGCCCUUCUCCUUCCCUUCGCAUACAAACUAGCGCGUACAGUACAAAAGUUGUCGUGGAACGGAGGAGGCUAAACCCAGACAGUACCGGUGUGGUACAACAUGGCUGGCACCGGUACAAACGUACACACUGCACAUGUUGUCUCGGUCGCCUGGCGAGCUCCGGCCGGGCAAGGGCUGGGCGGACCGACAGGGAUUGAUUACGUUUGGUUUAGUUGCGCACCAGCUUACAGGACGGGGCGGGACCAUGGACGGAUCGUGCAUGCCAAUGGCAAUGGCAUUGCCGGGAGCUCUCAAUCGUGGUUAACUACCCGUUUGGUGCGUAGCAUUAGGGGCAGCCAACAAACAAAGUGCCCUCCUACUCUACUCGUCGUACGGGUUCCACGUGGCCAAGUGGAUCAUGCCGUCGCCAUUGCCACCCAUCGACCGAUCGAUCGAUCGAUCCACCAGCAUGCACAUGCGCGCGUCCUCUCCUCCCUCUCUCGGCAACCCCUGCUCUGCCCAGGGGAACUCGUACAGCCAGCCACAAUGUACUGUGCCUACAGUAUUAUUGGGGCUACUUAAUUAGCCGUGUCAUGUUGAGUAACUGGGUAAAUCUGGAUUGCAGGGAGCUUGGAUGGAUGCAUGAUGCCGUGGUGGGAGUAGGAGGGAGAAGCGACAAGGAGCACCGGGAUCUCUGACAGCCCCGGGAUAUACAACUCCUCCGGCCCUGCGCCGAUCCCGAGGAGUGCUGCGCGAAUUAUGAUUGCUGAACAUGCCCCUUGUGCUGCGCAGUUUAACUAACUACUCCUCCUCCUAACUAAUAAAGCUGUCACAGCGAGCAGGCAGGCCAAUCAUUUAUUCAAUGUACUGUGCUCGCCCGUGGAAGAUUCUGCCCGUAAGUGGGAGCAUUUUAGGCAGAGAAAGAAACGUAAUAAGUCAGUGAGGCGUACUGGUACCUCCCUCUCCCGGUACUUGAAACUUUUUGACUAAACGCACGAUUAAUCGGCGGUCAUUUACUAGUGGAUUAGGAAGAAAGAACGGCAAUUAAACAACAAAAGGACAUAUGAUCGACGGAUAAUGCACAAUGGGAAUUUUGUAAAAAUGUCUACUACUCUCUUCGAUCCAUAUCAACUGCCGCCGAUUUAGUACAUUUAAUAUGGAUCGGAGGGAGUAUCUUUGAUCAGAUUUGUGAAAAAAAAUGCGGAAAAUAUUGGAUUUGUAAAUUGAAAAUUAGGAAUUCAUUUCACUUUUUUGAUAAUUAUGCAUGUUAUUGACAGAAUUAAUGAGGAGCUACCUAUUUAAGUACUAUAAAAAUUAAGGGGAACCCACCGGGCAGGACAAGGCCAUGUGUCCGGGCCAUAUAAUACGGCGGUGCACUGGUGCUGCACACCAAGCAGCAGCACGCAAGCAAGCUAGCUAGCAACGCGGUCGCUCGCUCGAUCGAUCCAACCACCGGCCGGGUAAGAAGAGUAACAUGGGAUUAGCUAGUAAUUAACGUGCACUCUCAUGGCCUCAUCCCCAUCUAUCCAUGCGCCCGUGGCCGGCGAGAUCGAUCGAGGUGAGGUGAGCGGGAACAGACACGCUCCGGGCAUCAUGUUACGCAUCUUGGUGCUGCCUCACGCGAUCGACGGAUCGAUGGAUCGGGCAUUAUUAUUUUACGACUGCAUCAGUCGCUAGCGAGCUAGCUUUGCAUAUUAUAGGCGCCCAAAGCGCAUCUCAGAUCGAUCUAAAGUUAUUCUACCACGCACCGGCACCGCGAGGCCAGCGUUGCACCCGUUGAUUAGAUGAUUGAAAUGUUACAUCAGGUUUCACUGUCACUGUGACAGUAAGAAAGAGUAUAAAGACGGGAAAGAAUAUCGAUCGUUUUUUCUUUCAUGCCGCGCGAGGGGGAAAGGUAAAUCGUGAUGGAGUGUGUAUGUGUUGUAACUACCGAGACAAGAGACAUCCUAACAGAUUGCCAAGAUUUUCCUCUGAUUCCAUUGUGCAGCAAUUGUCGUUUCUGAUUUUUACUGUUUGAGCGGGCAGCCAGAAGAUUUUUUUUUUGUCGGGGGAGAGAUGAAGUGGAUGUUUCGUAGAAACUAAGCAUGCGCGCACUCGCACAUGGGUGAAGGUUAAAGACAAACCGGCCCAAAAUGCAUCCAUCAUGGCUUGAUACUCACACCACCCAAUCGCGCGCGCUUUAGUUCGAAUGGAGCAGACACCGAGGAGAUAAAAAACAUAGCACAUGCAUCAACCGGCCUCUCACUUGAGUUGGAGUAGUAGUAACUCUAAUCAGCUUGACACUGAUGGAUGGAUGGAUGUAUACUGCCUAAUUCCUAUACGUACAAAGGUACAAGUUGGUAAAAUAUUUAGUCAAAUCAGAAUUGUAUACACAGUGUUAACUAGUUAUGUGAUCUUUGUUGAAAAACAAUAAUUAUGUCCCACCUCCGGCCGGACGACGGAUGAGCAUGAGCGUGCAUGUGGUGCAAGCUCAGCAUGGCGCCGUGGUUGGUUGCUUGCCGGGUCGCUGGCUACCUCGUUGCAUGCAUGAGGCAGGGUGCGUGCGUGGAUGCUCAUCCGUCUCGCCACCUCGGCACCAUGUUGCCGUGGUCAGCGAGUGCAUGCGAUGCACAACAUUGAUACAGUCCGGUUCAAAGGCGAUCAUGCAUGGCAUGUGCUCACUGUACACAGGUUCCCUCUAUUAUACGCCAACCCAUACGCCACUUGUAGUUACCUAUGGCUGCAUUGACCGGGGCCUGAUUGCCUCGAGCAUAUACUUAAUUGCCUUGGACUAACUAACCCGAGAAAAUAGUACGUAUAAGAAGAAAAAAAUUGUAUACAUCAACGUUACUCCUGGUACUACUCCUUACCAAGUCGCCUGGUGAAGGGGUUUAAAUGGCUGUAAUUAUCAUGAUGUCAGUGUGUGUUUACGAAUUACGAGGAGGAUUCGAUAGGUUGACCCUGGUAGUAUUUUUUUUUUGAAAAAAAAGUAGUAAAUGAGAAGGACGGGAUCCGAUGUUUAUUACUCCGUCAAACACACACACAAGGUUGAAGCGGUAACAAAAUUUGCGCGUCGCACGUACCUUCCUCUUGCUACCAUUGCCAUGUGAUGCAGGCACGUCAAGUGGAUCGUGUGCUCGCUUUGCUUUCUUUAUCAGCUCCUUUCCUUUUCAUUUCAUUCUAUGAUUUCUCUCGAUUUUAUCCAACUUUGAACAGGGUCUACAUUCUUAUAAUUUAUUUCUUUCGAGUUUGAUGUGCCCGGUCUCUUUUGGGCUAAGCCAGGUCGAUCGUGUGUGUAUUCUAAUGGUCGUAUUUGACCGUAUAAACUAGUGUGUACAGCUGCGAUCUGGAGGUUUAUUUGGGCUUUCCUUUUUCCUUUCUGAAGGAUACAUAGCUUGAGAAGGAAGUGAUCGAGCACCAACUUGAGCCGAGGUUUCGGACUCUGGCGCGGGAGGGACCGCAAGGGGUUCCCAUGCUAGGCGUGGGACAAGGUGUGUAACUGACAUGGAGCUCAAGACUUCAUUGGAUGGGAAUUUUGGCAGAUGGCAGCCACUAUCCCGUGUCUUGCAGCCUAGAAGGUUCUAUUUGUGGGAUCCACGGCAGCAACAACGCAGACACCAGUUUGGGAACCCUGCGUGUUUAAGGAAAUGCUUGGCUUGUCGUAUAAACCAUGCAUUUGAUGGCGAACUGACUCGAGCGUCACCCAUGGCCAAAUUGUGAUCUUUGUCAUCUUGCAAGUGGGAACCAAAAAUAGUGGUAGGUCUUCUUUACAAAUGUGUGUUUGAAUGAAUACAUGAGCUUUGCGGGAAUUUUGAGGAGUUUUGCUUGGUGUUCACGGCGAGGGAAGCAAAUGAACUAGCGUGUCUCUGCACGAGUGUAACUCCUCUAGGAGACGAUGCUUGUGAACUAACUAUACCCCGUCCUUCCUUGCGAUGUAAUGAAGGAAUGUAAUCCCGCUAUAUGAUCAAUAAAUCUCUUCAUUCUAAAAAAAGGAUGUGUGGUUAAUAAAACAAGAAAUAAGCCACCGUUCAAAGUUUGAUAAAAUCUACACUACGUGUAAUGUCGUCAAUUAGCAACGUCAUUGUAGAAAUGUUCUCUGUCCUUUGGUCAUGUUUUCCUCUUUGAGAAACUUCGAACAGCUGCAAUGCCUAUAUUUUCAGAGUCUUGUAUGCCUUGGUCAUUGUUGCAAAAUUUAGAAAGGAAAAGGCAAAUUGAGUCGUAGCAGGAGCCAAUAAUUCGAUUAAUGUUCUCCAAUGAGAGCAUCCUUGUAUUUUCCGUCACAUGGAUAUUCACAUGAAUAACUCAGUUGCAAUCCGAUACCAAUAUUUGUUGGACAGGAAACUUACUCGCGUUCUUUGGCAUGCUAACAAAAGGAGACUACAUGAAAAUUCAAGAGAACUAAACCAAGUUCGUCGUAAAUCAGUCACAAGAGAGAAAGACAAAAUUAUACUCAUUCCAUCCCAAAAUGUAACACCUAAUUGGUUUGUUCCUAAGUAAAAAAAUUAAAGUUUGGCCAGGUUUAUUGAAGCACAUGUUAACAUUUAGAAAAUGAAAUCAAUAUCAAUAGAUAAUCAUGAAAUAACUAUUUCUAUAAACCCAAUUAAACUUGUUUUGGCAGAAAUAAACCCAAUAAAACUUAAGAAACAUUGACUUGGAGAUAACAAGUAGGACCUAUGUUUUGAUAUGGAGUAUGUUCCGUCAUGCUAACCCUAGAUGCCAAAAGCUUGGGUGGAAGGUACAAGCAAUGUUGGGGAACGUAGCAUGCAAUUUCAAAAAAAUUCCUACGCUCACGCAAGAUCAAUCUAGGAGAUGCAUAUCAACGAGAGGGGGAGAGUGUGUCCACGUACCCUCGUAGACCGAAAGCGGAAGCGUUUGUUAACGCGGUUGAUGUAGUCGAACUUCUUCACGUUCCGACCGAUCAAGCACCGAAAGUACGACACCACCGAGUUCUGCACACGUUCAGCUCGAUGACGUCCCUUGAACUCUUGAUCCAGCAAAGUGUUGAGGGAGAGUUCCAUCAGCACGACGGCGUGGUGACGGUGAUGGUGAAGUUAUCCGCGCAGGGCUUCGCCUAAGCACUACGUGAAUAUGACCGGAGGCGUAAACUGUGGAGGGGGGCGCUGCACACGGCUUGGAACAAUUGUGUGUCUUAGAGGCGCCCCCACCCCCGUAUAUAAAGGAGGGAGAGGGGAGGAGGCCGCCCCUAGGAGCGCCCCAAGUGGGAGGAGUCCCACUUGGGCUCCUAGUAGGAUUCAACCCCCCUUCCUUUUAUCGGNNNNNNNNNNNNNNNNNNNNNNNNNNNNNNNNNNNNNNNNNNNNNNNNNNNNNNNNNNNNNNNNNNNNNNNNNNNNNNNNNNNNNNNNNNNNNNNNNNNNNNNNNNNNNNNNNNNNNNNNNNNNNNNNNNNNNNNNNNNNNNNNNNNNNNNNNNNNNNNNNNNNNNNNNNNNNNNNNNNNNNNNNNNNNNNNNNNNNNNNNNNNNNNNNNNNNNNNNNNNNNNNNNNNNNNNNNNNNNNNNNNNNNNNNNNNNNNNUUCCACCGGGGGGUUCCGAUAACCCCUCCGGUACUCCGAUAUGUACCCGAUACACUCCGGAACACUUCUGGUGUCCGAAUACUAUCAUCCAAUAUAUCAAUCUUUACCUCUCGACCAUUUUGAGACUCCUUGUCAUGUCCGUGAUCUCAUCCGGGACUCCGAACAAAAUUCGUUCACCAAAUCACAUAACUCAUAAUACAAAUCGUCAUCGAACGUUAAGCAUGCGGACCCUACAGGUUCGAGAACUAUGUAGACAUGACCGAGACACUUCUCCGGUCAAUAACCAAUAGCGGAACCUGGAUGCUCCUAUUGGUUCCUACAUACUCUACGAAGGUCUUUAUCGGUCAAACCGUAAUGACAACAUACGUCAUUCACUUUGUCAUCGGUAUGUUGCUUGCCCAAGAUUCGAUCGUCAGUAUCUUCAUACCUAGUUCAAUCUCGUUACUGGCAAGUCUCUUUACUCGUUCCGUAAUGCAUCAUCCCGUAACUAACUCAUUAGUCACAUUGCUUCUAAGGCUUAUUAUGAUGUGCAUUACCGAGAGGGCCAACAGACACCUCUCCGAUACUCGGAGUGACAAAUCCUAAUCUCGAUCUAUGCCAACCCAACAAAACACCUGCGGAGAUACCUGUAGAACAUCUUUAUAAUCACCCAGUUACGUUGUGACGUUUGAUAGCACACAAGGUAUUCCUCCGGUAUCCGGGAGUUGCAUAAUCUCGUAGUAAAAGAAAUAUGUAUAAGUCAUGAAUAAAACAAUAGCAAUAAAACUUAACAAUCACUAUGCUAAGCUAACGGAUGGGUCUUGUCCAUCACAUCAUUCUCCUAAUGAUGUGAUCCCAUUCAUCAAAUGACAACACAUGUCUAUGGUUAGGAAACUUAACCAUCUUUGAUUAAAGAUCUAGUCUAGUAGAGGCUUACUAGGGACACUGCGUUUUGUCUAUGUAUCCACGCAUAUAUCAAGUUUCCGGUUAAUACAAUUCUAGCAUGAAUAAUAGAUAUUUAUCACGAUAUAAGGAAAUAUAAAUAAUAACUUUAUUAUUGCCUCUAGGGCAUAUUUCCUUCAGUCUCCCACUUGCACUAGAGUCAAUAAUCUAGUUCACAUCGCCAUGUGAUUUAACACCAAUAGUUCACAUCACCAUGUGAUUAACGCACAUAGUUCACAUCGCCAUGUGACCAACACCCAAAGGGUUACUAGAGUCAAUAAUCUAGUUCACAUUGCCAUGUGAUUAACACCCAAAGAGUACUAAGAUGUGAUCAUGUUUUGCUUGUGAGAGAAAUUUAGUUAACGGGUCUGCCACAUUCAGAUCCGUAUGUAUUUUGCAAAUUUCUAUGUCUACAAUGCUCUGCAUGGAGCUACUCUAGCUAAUUGCUCCCACUUUCAAUAUAUAUCCAGAUUGAGACUCAGAGUCAUCCAGAUCGGUGUUAAAGCUUGCAUCGACGUAACUCUUUACGAUGAACUCUUUAUCACCUCCAUAACCGAGAAAUAUUUCCUUAGUCCUCUAAGGAUAAUUUUGACCGCUGUCCAGUGAUCUACUCCUGGAUCACUAUUGCCCUUUGCCAAACUCAUGACAAGGUACACAAUAGGUCUGGUAUACAUCAUGGCAUACUUUAUAGAACCUAUGGCUGAGGCAUAGGGAAUGACUUUCAUUCUCUCUCUAUCUUCUGCCGUGGUCGGGUUUUGAGUCUAACUCAACUUCAUACCUUACAACUCAGGCAAGAACUCCUUCUUUGACUAUUCCAUUUUGAACUCCUUCAAAAUCUUAUCAAGGUAUGUACUCAUCGAAAGUCUUAUCAAGCGUCUUGAUCUAUCUUUAUAGAUCUUGAUGCCCUGUGACGCCCGGAUAAUUAAGCUACAGUAACCCUCUGCCAAUGAUGCCACGUCACCUCGAUUACUGUUGCUAAUAUCGCGUUAGUUCAAAACCGAUUCAAAUUCAAAAUUGAAUUAAAGUCAAAUGGUAAAGAUUUUCAAAUAUUAAAACUAAAAUGUUGGGGUGUUGCCAAAUAAUGCAUAGGUAAUUAUUGUGGAGAAACCACAUUUUUAUAAAAGGUUUAAAUGCACUUAAAUGAUUAAAACAGUAGGUAAAACUAUUAAAUAAAUGCCUUUGAUAUUUUAUAAAAUCAUAAACUAUUUUAUUUUGAGGUAAAACUUUUUAGGGUAGUGGGUUGUUUUGAAACACUAAUUUGGAGCUAUUGUCAUAUUUUACUAAACUAAGAAUAAAGUGUAACUAAAAUAAAACAGAAAAGGAAAAAGAAUAAAAAGAAAAGAAAACCAGAAAACAAAAUAAAAGGAAAAAAAAGCCCCCUUGGCCAACCGGGCCAGACGGCCCAGCCGGCUAGCCCACUGGCCCAAGCCGGCCCCCCACUCACCUUAUCCUCCCCGUCCCGAAACCCUAACCACCCCGACCGCACACUGCCCCCCCACUCCCCACGUCUCUCCCCUCCCGAUCCGAUCUGGAUCGGGGACGAACUGCUUCCCCCCUCUCUCGCGACGCCGCGCCCCAUCGCUCGCCGUCGCCGCCGNNNNNNNNNNNNNNNNNNNNNNNNNNNNNNNNNNNNNNNNNNNNNNNNNNNNNNNNNNNNNNNNNNNNNNNNNNNNNNNNNNNNNNNNNNNNNNNNNNNNNNNNNNNNNNNNNNNNNNNNNNNNNNNNNNNNNNNNNNNNNNNNNNNNNNNNNNNNNNNNNNNNNNNNNNNNNNNNNNNNNNNNNNNNNNNNNNNNNNNNNNNNNNNNNNNNNNNNNNNNNNNNNNNNNNNNNNNNNNNNNNNNNNNNNNNNNNNNNNNNNNNNNNNNNNNNNNNNNNNNNNNNNNNNNNNNNNNNNNNNNNNNNNNNNNNNNNNNNNNNNNNNNNNNNNNNNNNNNNNNNNNNNNNNNNNNNNNNNNNNNNNNNNNNNNNNNNNNNNNNNNNNNNNNNNNGGCGACGACCCCCCUCCCUUGCGCCCGUGCCACGGCCUCCUCCUCACCGGACCCCGCCACCGCCCGUCGCCUCGUCCUCCUCGUCUCCUCCUCGCCGACGACGCAUCCUCGUCCUCCUCCCCAAAGGCUCCACCGAGCCUCGCCGCCCCCUGCUCACCAACGCAGGCGAGGACCCCGGUCCUCCUCCUCCCCGUGCCCUCACGCCGGCGCUCACCCGCGCGCCCCAGCACGCGCCCGUCUCUGCGCGUCGCUAUGCCCGACCAUGGCCUUUCCUAGUGCCCCCUUGCUCCGCAUCUUGCCGCCACCACCGGGCCGCGUCUGCUUCCGCCCGGGCGCGCUCGACUCCCCUCGUCCCUUCCCGCGGCUGCCUUGGCCGAAGCCCGCCGCCGCUCGGCCGACCACUUCCGCUCGCCGCCUGUGUUGCGGCCGGCGCCUCGCGGUCCUACGUGGCCUCGCCGUGGCCGCGAACCUCCACCGUGCCCGCUGGCCCUAGUCGGGUCCGCCCCGCCUCGUGCGUUCGGGCAGCACCAUGCGCCCGUGAACCCGGCGCCCGCAAGGCCCUGGGCCAUUUACACGCGGGCCCCAGCGCCCAGAACGUCUAUUAAAAAAAGAGAAAAGAAUAAAAAAUUAAUAAAUAAAAAUAAAAAUGAAUUAAUAAAAUUAAUAAUUAAUUAAUUGAUUAAUCAAGUUAAUUAAUCAUGUUUAAUUAAUCUAAUUAACUAGUUAGUUUAAUUAAACAGUAAUUAGUUUAGCUAAUUCCUAAUUAACCUAAGCAGAGUAUGACAGGUGGGUCCCGCACAUCAGAUUGACCCAGUCAACACCUUUGUUGACUGCUGACGUCAUGCUGAUGUCAUGAUGACGUCAGCAUGCACUAUUCUGGAUGAUGUUGAAUUAAAUUAAUUAAAUAAAUACUAAAAAUGAUUUAAAACUUUGAAAAUUAAUAUAAAAUAAUCCGUAACUCGGAUGAAAAUACUUUGUACAUGGAAGUUGCUCAGAACGCGAGACGAAUCCGGAUACGCAACCCGUUCGUCUGCCACACAUCCCUAGCAUAGCAAACACACAACUUUCCCCCUCCAGUUCAUCUGUUCGAAAACGCGAAACACCGGGGAUAUUUUCCUGGAUGUUUCCCCCCUUCACCGGUAUCACCUCAUACCACGUUAGAACACGUCUAGCUCUGCUUGUUGUCCUGUUAUGCACUUGCUUGCUAUGUAUUUACUGUUUCUUCCCCCUCUUCUCUUUGGUAGACCCCGUGACGAUGUUGAUGCCCCUGUGGUUGACUACGUCACCGACGACCCCUCCUUCUUCUGAGCAACCAGGCAAGCCCCCCCCCUUGAUCACCAGAUAUCGCCUAUUCUUCUCUAUACUGCUUGCAUUAGAGUAGUGUAGCAUGUUACUGCUUUCGGUUAAUCCUAUUCUGUUGCAUAGCCUCUCAUUGUUGCUACAGUUGUUACCCUUACCUUCUAUCCUACUGCUUAGAAUAGGAUGCUAGUUUUUCCAUUAGUGGCCCUACAUUCUUGUCCGUCUGCCAUGCUAUACUACUGGGCCGUGAUCACUGCGGGAGGUGAUCACGGGUAUAUACUAUAUACUUUAUACAUGAUACAUGUGGUGACUAGAGUCUGGUCGCCUCGAGGAGUACCCGCAAGUGAUUCUGAUGAGGGGGCUGAAAGGACAGGUGGCUCCAUCUCGGUAGAGGUGGGCCUGGGUUCCUGACGGCCCCCGACUGUUACUUUGUGGCGGAGCGACAGGGCGGGUUGAGACCACCUAGGAGAGAGGUGGGCCUGGCUCUGGUCGACGUCCGCGGAUACUUAAUAAUAACAUGCUUAAUGAGUUCUUGGUAUUUGAUCUGAGUCUGGCCAUUUGGUCUAUACGCACUAACCAACUACGCGGGAACAGUUAUGGGCACUCGGCAUCGUGGUAUCAGCCGAAGCUCUUUUUGACGUCAGCGACUGAGUGGCGCGCGCCGCAUUGGACCAUAAGCUCGCGCUUGUAUUAAGGGGGCUAGGUCUGCUUCCGGCUGCGUACGCAACGUGCAGGUGUGCAAUGGGCAAUGGGCCCAGACCCCUGCGUGCAUAGGAUUUAGACCGGCGUGCUGACCUCUCUGUUGAGCCUAGGUGGGGCUGCGACGUGUUGAUCUUCCGAGGCCGAGCAUGACCCAGGAAAGUGUGUCCGGCCAAAUGGGAUCGAGCGUGUUGGGUUAUGUGGUGCACCCCUGCAGGGAAGUUUAUCUAUUCGAAUAGCCGUGUCCCUCGGUAAAAGGACGACCCGGAGUUGUACCUUGACCUUAUGACAACUAGAACCGGAUACUUAAUAAAACACACCCUUCCUAGUGCGAGAUAUAACCCGGUGAUCGCUCUCUAACAGGGAGACGAGGAGGGGAUCGCCGGGUAGGAUUAUGCUAUGCGAUGCUACUUGGUGAACUUACCAUCUACUCUCUUCUACAUGCUGCAAGAUGGAGGUGGCCAGAAGCGUAGUCUUCGACAGGAUUAGCUAUCCCCCUCUUAUUCUGGCAUUCUGCAGUGCAGUCCACCGAUAUGGCCCUUUACACAUACACCCAUGCAUAUGUAGUGUAGCUCCUUGCUUGCGAGUACUUUGGAUGAGUACUCACGGUUGCUUUUCUCCCUCUUUUCCCCCUUUCCUUUCUACCUGGUUGUCGCAACCAGAUGCUGGAGCCCAAGAGCCAGACGCCACCGUCGACGACGACUCCUACUACACCGGAGGUGCCUACUACUACGUGCAGGCCGCUGACGACGACCAUGAGUAGUUUAGGAGGAUCCCAGGCAGGAGGCCAGUGCCUCUUUCGAUCUGUAUCCCAGUUUGUGCUAGCCUUCUUAAGGCAAACUUGUUUAACUAAUGUCUGUACUCAGAUAUUGUUGCUUCCGCUGACUCGUCUAUGAUCGAGCACUUGUAUUCGAGCCCUCGAGGCCCCUGGCUUGUAUUAUGAUGCUUGUAUGACUUAUUUAUGUUGUAGAGUUGUGUUGUGAUAUCUUCCCGUGAGUCCCUGAUCUUGAUCGUACACAUUUGCGUGCAUGAUUAGUGUACGGUCAAAUUGGGGGCGUCACAUGCCCAAUAUGUAAGUAGCUUCACCGAGGUCUUUCUUUGAAAAACUCCUUUAAAACACUCCUUUAUUCUUUCAAGAAAAUUCUACAUCAUUUCCGAUCAACAAUAUGUCAUUCACAUUUACUUAUCAGAAAGGUUGUAGUGCUCCCACUCACUUUCUUGUAAAUACAGGCUUCACCGCAAGUCUGUAUAAAACUAUAUGCUUUGAUCAACUCAUAAAGCGUAUAUUCCAACUCGGAGAUGCUUGCACCAGUCCAUAGUGGAUCGCUGGAGCUUGCACACUUUGUUAGCACCUUUAGGAUUGCGAAAACCUUCUGGCUGCACCAUAUACAACUCUACUUUAAUAAAUACAUUAAGGAAUGCAGUUUUGACAUCCAUUUGCCACAUUUCAUAAAAUGCGGCAAUUUCUAACAUGAUUUGGACAGACUUUAAGCAUUGAUACGAGUGAGAAAAUCUCAUCGUAGUCAACACCUUGAACUUGUCGAAAACCUUUUGCGACAAUUCGAGCUUUGUAGAUAGUAACACUACUAUCAGCGUCCGUCUUCCUCUUGAAGAUCCAUUUAUUCUCAAUGGCUCGCCGAUCAUCGGGCAAGUCAAUCAAAGUCCAUACUUUGUUCUCAUACAUGGAUCCUAUCUAAGAUUUUCUGGCCUCAAGCCAUUUAUCGGAAUCUGGGCUCAUCAUCGCUUUCUCAUAGUUCGUAGGUUCGUCAUGGUCUAGUAACAUGACUUCCAGAACAGGAUUACCGUACCACUCUGGUGCGAAACGUGCUCUGGUUGACCUACGAGGUUCGGUAGUAACUUGAUCCAAAGUUUCAUGAUCAUUAUCAUUAGCUUCCUCACUAGUUGGUGUAGGCAUCACGGGAACGGUUUUCUGUGAUGAGCUACUUUCCAAUUCAAGAGAAGGUACAAUUACCUCAUCAAUUUCUACUUUCCUCCCACUCACUUCUUUCAAGAGAAACUCCUUCUCUAGAAAGGAUCCAUUCUUAGCAACAAAGAUCUUGCCUUCGGAUCUGUGAUAGAAGGUGUACCUGUUGGGGAACGCAGUAAUUUCAAAAAAAUUCCUACGCACACGCAAGAUCCAUCAAGGUGAUGCAUAACAAUGAGAGCAGAGAGUGUUGUCCAUGUACCCUCGUAGACCGUAAGCGGAAGCGUUAUGACAACGUGGUUGACGUAGUCGUACGUCUUCACGAUCCGACCGAUCCUAGCACCGAAGGUACGACACCUCCGCGAUCUGCACACGUUCAGCUCGGCGACGUCCCAUGAACUCUAGAUCCAGCUGAGGUCGAGGGAGAGUUUCUUCAGCACCACGGCGUGAUGACGGUGAUGAUGAAGCUACCGGCGCAGGGCUUUGCCUAAGCACUACAAUGAUAUGACUGAGGUGGAAAUCUGUGGAGCGGGGCACCGCACACGGCUAAACAAUCAACUUGUGUGUCUAUGGGGUGCCCCCUCCCCCGUAUAUAAAGGAGUGGAGGAGGGGGAGGGCCGGCCCUCUCAUGGCGCGCCCAAGGGGGGAGUCCUACUCCCGGUGGGAGUAGGAAUCCCCCUUCCCUAGUUGGAGUAGGAGAGGAAGGAAGGAGGAGAGAGGGAGAAGGAAAGGGGGGCCGCCCCCCACCCCAAUUCAGAUUGGGCUUGGGGGGUGGGCACCUUAGCCUCCUCCUCCUCUUUUCCACUAAGGCCCAAUAAGGCCCAUNNNNNNNNNNNNNNNNNNNNNNNNNNNNNNNNNNNNNNNNNNNNNNNNNNNNNNNNNNNNNNNNNNNNNNNNNNNNNNNNNNNNNNNNNNNNNNNNNNNNNNNNNNNNNNNNNNNNNNNNNNNNNNNNNNNNNNNNNNNNNNNNNNNNNNNNNNNNNNNNNNNNNNNNNNNNNNNNNNNNNNNNNNNNNNNNNNNCCGAACUCACCCGGAACCAUUCCAAUGUCCAAACAUAGCCUUCCAAUAUAUCGAUCUUUAUGUCUCGACCAUUUCGAGACUCCUCGUCAUGUCUGUGAUCAUAUCCGGGACUCCGAACUACCUACGAUACAUCAAAACACAUAAACUCAUAAUACCGAUCAUCACCAAACGUUAAGCAUGCGGACCCUACGGGUUCGAGAACUAUGUAUACAUGACCGAGAGUCAUCUCCGGUCAAUAACCAAUAGGGUAACCUGGAUGCUCAUAUUGGUUCCAACAUAUUCUACGAAGAUCUUUAUCGGUCAAACCGCAUAACAACAUACGUUGUUCCCUUUGUCAUUGGUAUGUUACUUGCCCGAGAUUCGAUCGUCGGUAUCUCAAUACCUAGUUCAAUCUCGUUACCGGCAAGUCUCUUUACUCGUUCCGCAAUGCAUCAUCCCGCAACUAGCUCAUUAGUCACAUUUCUUGCAAGGUUUAUAGUGAUGUGCAUUACCGAGAGGGCCCAGAGAUACCUCUCCGACAAUCGGAGUGACAAAUCCUAAUAUCGAUCUAUGCCAACUCAACAAACACCAUCGGAGACACCUGUAGAGCAUCUUUAUAAUCACCCAGUUACGUUGUGAUGUUUGAUAGCACACUAAGUGUUCCUCCGUUAUUCGGGAGUUGCAUAAUCUCAUAGUCAUAGGAACAUGUAUAAGUUAUGGAGAAAGCAAUAUCAAUAAACUAAACGAUCAUAGUGCUAAGCUAACGGAUGGGUCAAGUCAAUCACAUCAUCCUCUAAUGAUGUGAUCCCGUUUAUCAAAUGACAACUCUUUGUCUAUGGCUAGGAAACUUAACCAUCUUUGAUUAACGAGCUAGUCAAGUAGAGGCAUACUAGUGACACGCUGUUUGUCUAUGUAUUCACACAUGUACUAAGUUUCCUGUUAAUACAAUUCUAGCAUGAAUAAUAAACAUUUAUCAUGAUAUAAGGAAAUAUAAAUAACAACUUGCAUUAGAGUCAAUAAUCUAGAUUACAUUGUAAUGAUUCUAACACCCAUGGAGUCUUGGUGCCGAUCUUGUUUUGCAAGUGAGAGAGGCUUCGUCAAUGGGUCUGCAACAUUCAGAUCCGUAUGUGUCUUGCAAAUCUCUAUGUCUCCCUCCUUGACUUGGUCGUGGAUGGAAUUGAAGCGUCUCUUGAUGUGCUUGGUUCUCUUGUGAAAUCUGGAUUCCUUUGCCAAGGCAAUUGCACAAGCAUUGUCACAAAAGAUUUUCAUUGGACCCGAUGCACUAGGUAUGACACCUAGAUCGGAUAUGAACUCCUUCAUCCAGACUCCUUCAUUUGCUGCUUCCAAAGCAGCUAUGUACUCCGCUUCACACGUAGAUCCCGCCACGACGCUCUGCUUGGAACUGCACCAACUGACAGCUCCACCAUUUAAUAAAAAUACGUAUCCGGUUUGUGACUUAGAGUCAUCCGGAUCAGUGUCAAAGCUUGCAUCGACGUAACCGUUUACGACGAGCUCUUUGUCACCUCCAUAAACGGAAAACAUAUCCUUAGUCCUUUUCAGGUAUUUUAGGAUGUUCUUGACCGCUAUCCAGUGAUCCACUCCUGGAUUACUUUGGUACCUCCCUGCUAUACUAAUAGCAAGGCACACAUCAGGUCUGGUACACAACAUUGCAUACAUGAUAGAACCUAUGGCUGAAGCAUAGGGAAUGACCUUCAUUUUCUCUCUAUCUUCUGCAGUGGUCGGGCAUUGAGUCUGACUCAAUUUCACACCUUGUAACACAUGCAAGAACCCCUUCUUUGCUUGAUCCAUUUUGAACUUCUUCAAAACUUUAUCAAGGUAUGUGCUUUGUGAAAGUCCAAUUAAGCGUCUUGAUCUAUCUCUAUAGAUCUUGAUGCCCAAUAUAUAAGCAGCUUCUCCGAGGUCUUUCAUUGAAAAAUUCUUAUUCAAGUAUCCUUUUAUGCUAUUCAGAAAUUCAGUAUCAUUUCCGAUCAACAAUAUGUCAUCCACAUAUAAUAUUAGAAAUGCUACAGGGCUCCCACUCACUUUCUUGUAAAUACAGGUUUCUCCAAAAGUCUGUAUAAAACCAUAUGCUUUGAUCACACUAUCAAAGCGUAUAUUCCAACUCCGAGAGGCUUGAACCAGUCCAUAAAUGGAUCGCUGGAGCUUGCACACUUUGUUAGCACCUUUUGGAUUGACAAAACCUUCUGGUUGCAUCAUAUACAACUCUUCUUUAAGAUAUCCAUUAACGAAUGCAGUUUUGACAUCCAUUUGCCAAAUUUCAUAAUCAUAAAAUGCGGUAAUUGCUAACAUGAUUCGGACGGACUUAAGCAUCGCUACGAGUGAGAAGGUCUCAUCGUAGUCAACUCCUUGAACUUGUCGAAAACCUUUCGCAACAAGUCGAGCUUUGUAGACAGUAACAUUACCGUCAGCGUCAGUCUUCUUCUUGAAUAUCCAUUUAUUCUCUAUGGCUUGCCGAUCAUCGGGCAACAGUCAACCAAAGUCCACGCUUUGUUCUCAUACAUGGAUCCCAUCUCAGAUUUCAUGGCCUCAAUCCAUUUUGCGGAAUCUGGGCUCAUCAUUGAUACGUCUCCAACGUAUCUAUAAUUUAUGAAGUAUUCAUGCUAUUAUAUUAUCCAUCUUAGAUGUUUUAUAUGCAUUUAUAUGCUAUUUUAUAUGAUUUUUGGGACUAACCUGUUGCUACCUCUUGAGCACUGCGUUGGUUUCCCUUGAAGAGAAAAGGGUGAUGCAGUAAAGUAGCGUAAGUAUUUCCCUCAGUUUUUGAGAACCAAGGUAUCAAUCCAGUAGGAGACCACGCGUGAGUCCCACGCACCUACACAAACAAAUAAGAACCUCGCAACCAACGCGAUAAAGGGGUUGUCAAUCCCUUCACGGUCACUUACGAGAGUGAGAUCUAAUAGAUAUGAUAAGAUAAUAUUUUUGGUAUUUUUAUGAUAAAGAGUAAAAGUAAAGAUCGCAAAACUAAACGGCGCUAGAAAUAACUAAGUGUUGGAAGAUUAAUUAUGAUGGAAAAUAGACCCUGGGGCCAUAGGUUUCACUAGUGGCUUCUCUCAAGAGCAUAAGUAUUACGGUGGGUAAACGAAUUACUAUCGAGCAAUUGAUAGAAUUGAGCAUAGUUAUGAGAAUAUCUAGGUAUGAUCAUGUAUAUAGGCAUCACGCCCGCAACAAGUAGAACGAAACGAUUCUGCAUCUACUACUAUUACUCCACACAUCGACCGCUAUCCAGCAUGCAUCUAGAGUAUUAAGUUCGUAAGAACAGAGUAAUGCUUUAAGUAAGAUGACAUGAUGUAGAGGGAUAAACUCAUGAAAUAUGAUAUAAACCCCAUCUUUUUAUCCUCGAUGGCAACAAUACAAUACGUGUCGUUUUCCUUUCUGUCACUAGGAUCGAGCACCGCAAGAUUGAACCCAAAGCUAAGCACUUCUCCCAUUGCAAGAAAGAUCAAUCUAGUUGGCCAAACCAAACUGAUAAUUCGAAGAGACUUGCAAAGAUAACCAAUCAUACAUAAAAGAAUUCAGAGGAGAUUCAAAUAUUGUUCAUAGAUAAACUUGAUCAUAAACCCACAAUUCAUCGGAUCUCGACAAGCACACCGCAAAAGAAGAUUACAUCGAAUAGAUCUACAAGAAGGUCGAGGAGAACUUUGUAUUGUGAUCCAAAGAGAGAGAAUAAGCCAUCUAGCUAAUUACUAUGGAACCGAAGGUCUGAGGUAAACUACUCACACAUCAUCGGAGAGGCUAUGGUGUUGAUGUAGAAGCCCUCUGUGAUCGAUGCCCCCUCCGGCGGAGCGCCGGAAAAGGCCCCAAGAUGGGAUCUCACGGGUACAGAAGGUUGCGGCGGUGGAAAUAGGGUUUUGGCUCUGUAUAUGAUGUUUCCAGGGUACGUAGGUAUAUAUAGGAGGAAGAAGUACAUCAGUGGAGCAACGAGGGGCCCACGAGGGUGGAGGGCGCGCCUGGGGGGGGGGGGGUAGGCGCGCUCCCCUGCCUCGUGCCUUCCUCGUUGAUUACUUUACGUAGACUCCAAGUCCUCUAGAUCACGUUUGUUCCGAAAAUCACGUUCCCGAAGGUUUCAUUCUGUUUGGACUCUGUUUGAUAUCCUUUUCCUUCGAAACACUGAAAUAGGCAAAAAACAGCAAUCUGGGCAGGGCCUCCGGUUAAUAGGUUAGUCCCAAAAAAUAAUAUAAAAGUGUAUAAUAAAGCCCAAUAAACAUCUAAAACAGAAUAUAAUAUAGCAUGGAACAAUAAAAAAUUAUAGAUAUGUUGGAGACGUAUCACCUAUUAACCUAGAGCCCAGUGCCAGUUUCUGUUUUUUUCCUUAUUUUUGAGUUUUACAGAAAAGGAAUACCAAACGGAGUCCAAUUGACGUGCCAAUUUUUGUUGAUUUUUUAUGGACCAAAAGAAACCCCUGGAGCAAAAGAGUUGGGCCAGAGAGUCCCGGGCUGUCCACGAGGGUGGGGGGCGCGCCCACCCCCCUGGGCAUGGGCCCCUGCCUCGUGGACGACUCGGAGACCCCCCUGACGUGAAACCAACGCCAAAAAUUCCUAUAAAUACAGAAACCCCCAGAAAAUAACCUAGAUCCGAAGUUCCGCCGCCGCAAGCCUCUGUAGCCACGAGAAAUCAAUCUAGGCCCUCUCUGGCACCCUGCCGGAGGGGGCCAUCAUCACCGGAGGCCAUGGAGGAGGAUCCCGGAGGGGCCAUCAUCGCCAUGAAGGCCAAGGACCAGAGGGAGAACCACUCCCCAUCUAGGGGGGAGGCCAUGGAGGAGGAAGCACAAGGGGGAGAACCUCUCCUCCUCUCUCUCGGUGGCAUCGGAGUGCCAUCGGGAGGGGAAUCAUCGUCGCGGUGAUUGUCUUCAUCAACAUCACCAUCAUCAUCACCAUCCUCAUCUAUUUCACGCGGUCCACUCUCCCGCACCCCGCUGUAAUCUCUACUUGAACAUGGUGCUUUAUGCCACAUAUUGUGAUCCAAUGAUGCGUUGCCAUCCUAUGAUGUUUUGAGUAGAUAUCCUUUGUCUUUGGGUUGAUUGAUGAUCUAGAUUGGUACGAGUUGUAUAUUGUAUUUUGGUGCUGUCCUAUUGUGCCCUCCGUGUCGCGCAAGCGUGAGGGAUUCCCGCUGUAGGGUGUUGCAAUACGUUUAUGAUUCGCUUAUAGUGGGUUGUUUGAGUGACAGAAGCAUAAACCCGAGUAAGGGGGUUGUUGCGUAUGGGAUAAAGGGGACUUGAUGGUUCAAUGCUAUGGUUGGGUUUUACCUUAAUGAUCUUUAGUAGUUGCAGAUGCUUGCUAGAGUUCCAAUCAUAAGUGCAUAUGAUCCAAGAAGAGAAAGUAUGUUAGCUUAUGCCUCUCCCUCAUAUGAAAUUGCAAUGACGACUACCGGUCUUGUUAACAAUUGCCUAGGAUAAUUCCGCACACCGAUCCAUCAUUAUUCCACACUCGCUAUUUAUAAUAUUUAGUAAUAUAUUCUAACUUUAUGAUAAGAACACCUACUUUUAUAUUUUAGCUCUCCGAUAUCAUGCAAAGUUAUCCUCUUCAUACCCACAACGUAGUUUUAUUUCUCGUUUCUAGUUGGAAGCAAACGUUCGGUGUACGUAGAGUCGUAUCAGUGGCAGAUAGGACUUGAGAGAAUAUUGAUCUUACCUUUAGCUCCUUGUGGGUUCGACACUCCAUACUUAUCACUUCCUCCUUUGGGAAUUUCUACGAUGAUUCCCUGCACUUGGGGAUUAUCAAGCUCUUUUCUGGCGCCGUUGCCGGGGAGCAAUAGCGUGGGGUUGAUAUUCUCGUGUGUGCUUGUUUGCUUUCUUCACUAAGUAGAUCUUGUUUUUCCUUUUUGUUUCUGUUUAGUUGUGGGUGAAACAUACAAUUUUUUUUAAGAAUGAAAAUACAAAAAAAAUUAUUACUUGCCUCUCAUGCCUAAAAAGUUUUUCAAAAAGAGAAGUGAUUGGAAAGUUACGCAUUGAAGAAGUGAGGAUCGACCUUGAGCACUUGUGUUCAUGCUCACGGAAAAAAUGUAGAAUUUUUCAUGGAAGUUUCUCUGUAAAUAAUUAUCCCCUUGUAUAUACCCAUUGUAUUAUAAAAAUAAUGUGCCAAGCUUUGGUUUUAGGAUGAUUAGAUUGCUUGUUUACUAUGUGCAGAACAAAAACAGAAACUUUGGCUGUAGUGCGUGAUUUUACAUUUUUUACUGGAAGUUCAAAUGGGUCUGAAACUUUUUUCAAAUUACUUCUGUAAUUUUUUUUCAAAUUUUCAAUUUUUUUUCAUAAUUUUAGGAGUUACAGAAGUUUACUAAACUUCCAGAUUACUACAGACUGUCCUGUUUUUGACAGAUUCUGUUUUUCGCGUGUUGUUUGCUUAUUUUGAUGAAUCUAUGGCUAGUAUCGGGGGGUAUGAACCAUAGAGGAGUUGGAAUACAGUAGGUUUAACACCAAUAUAAAUAAAGAAUGAAUUCAUUACAGUACCUUAAAGUGGUAGUUUGCUUUAUUACACUAACGGAUCUCACAAAGUUUUUGUUAAAGUUUUGUGUGGAUGAAGUGUUCGAAGAACGAGGAGUUACCGAUGUGAGAAGAAUAAAGAGAGGCAAGAGUUCAAGCUUGGGGAUUCCCAAGGCACCCCAAGUAAAUAUUCCAAGGAUACUCAAGCAUCUAAGCUUGGGGAUGCCCCGGUUGGCAUCCCAUCUUUCUUCUUCAACAAAUAUCGGUUUACCUCGGUUUUUGUUUUGUUCACAUGAUUUGUGUCCUUUGUGUUUUUGUUUUUCCUUUAAGAACCAUGCUAGUAUGAGAUAGCCCUUCAUUUAUUUAUAGAAUACUUCAUGUGCUUCACUUAUAUCUUUCAAGUAUGAUCUUAUAGAAUCGCUCUUUGUGCUUCACUUAAAACAUUUGAGUAUGGUUUUAUAGAAUGCUUCGUGUGCUUCACUUAUAUAUUUUGAGCUUGGAUAUUGGUUAGUCUAUAUUAAUUAAAUAAUGAUCCAUCAACUUCACUUAUAUCUUUUGGAGUAUGAAUAAUACUAUCAUCUAAAGCGGGUUUGGAAGAGUGUCAACUUUAGGAAUUAGUGACCCCACUAUUCCGAAUGAGAAGAAUUUUGCUUAUGUGGAGAGUAGAAAAUUCUCUAUGCUUGUAGAUCAUGAAAAGAAUGCUUUAUGUGAUGGUUAUAUUGAUGAAUUCAUUCAUGAUGCUACUGAAAGUUAUUAUGAGGGAGGAAUAUAUGCUUGUAGGAGUUGCAAUAAUAUCAAGUUUCCUCUCUAUGUGCUUAAAGUUUUGAAGUUAUACUUGUUUUGCCUUCCUAUGCUAGUUGAUUCUUGUUCCUAUAAAUUAUGUGUUCACAAAAUCCCUAGGCAUAGGAAGUGGGUUAGAUUUAAAUGUGCUAGUCAUAUUCUUCAUGAUGCUCUCUUUAUGUUUCAAUUCUUAUCUUUUAUGUGAGCAUCAUUGAAAUCAUCAUGCCUAGCUAAAAGGCAUUAAAGAAAAGCGCUUGUUGGGAGACAACCCAAUAUUUACCCUUACUGUUUUUGUGUGUUUACAUGAUUAAUCUACUGUAGUAAUCAUUUUUUAUAGCUUUUGUUUCAAUAAAGUGCCAAGUAAGACCUUUGGGAAGACCUGGGUGAAAGUUAAUGUGAUCUUGCUGUAAAAAACAGAAACUUUGCGUUCACAAGAUUAUCUGCCAUUUUUUACAGAAGAGUGAUUUUGAGUUGAUUAUUUUUUGAAGAAGAUUAAUAGACAAAUUCCUCACGUCCACCAAUUUAUUUCAUAAUGUUUGGAGUAGCAGAAGUAUGGUUUAUGUUAAGAUCAUUACAGACUGUUCUGUUUCUGACAGAUUCUGUUUUCAUUGCAUAGUUUGCUUGUUUUCUUGUUACUAUGGUUUAUAUUUCUCAAUAUAAAUUGUAGAAAUGAUAUGGUACAGUAGGCAUUGUGUGAGAACAAUUAUGAACCUUGUCUUUGAAAUUACCAAAGUGAAUUGUUUACUCUUUAUCAUACUAACCUAUCUCACGAAGUUCCGUUAAGUUUUGUGUGAUUGAAGUUUUCAACCUUUGGGUGAGAUAUCGAUAUGCGGAGAAUAAGGAGUGGAAAGACCCCAAGCUUGGGGAUGCCCAAGGCACCCCAAGGUAAUACUCAAGGAAGACUCAAGCGCCUAAGCUUGGGUAUGCCCCGGAAGGCAUCCCCUCUUUCGUCUUCAGAACUAUCGGUAUACCUUACUCGGAGCUAUAUUUUUAUUCGUCACAUGAUAUGUGUUUUGCUUGGAGCGUAUUUUCAAUUUUACUUGCUAUUUGAAUAAAAUUAUUGGAUCUGAAAUCUUGAAUGAAAAAGAAUCCUCCCAUGGCUAGUUAAUUAUUUGACUACUCAGUGUGCUUCAAGUAUAUCCUAUGAGUAAAUGGUUGAAUGAAUUGAAUAUCAUAAAUCUGAAUUUAUAAAUCUUUCAUAUGCUUAUACCAUGGGGAGUAAUGACUUCACACAGAAUAAGUAUAGGUAGUAAACUUAUUGAAAGUUAGCAAACGCAGAAUUGGUCACUUGAACAAUUCAUGAAAGAAUAUUGAAGGAAGAGAGAUUUCACAUAUAAAUAUACUAUCUUGGACAUAUUUUGUAAUUGUGAGCACUCAUUAAAAUAUGACAUGCUAAAAGGAUGAUGUUGGACAAGGAAGACAACGUAAUGGGUUAUGUUUUCUUAUAUCCGAAAUAAAGUAUAUUGUCAUGGAUCAUCCAACAUGUUGAGCUUGCCUUUCCCUCUCAUGCUAGCCAAAUUCUUUGCACCAAGUAGAGAUACUACUUGUGCUUCCGAACAUCCCUUAAACCAGUUUUGCCAUGAGAGUCCACCAUACCUACCUAAGGAUUGAGUAAGAUCCUUCAAGUAAGUUGUCAUCGGUGCAUGCAAUAAAAAUUGCUCCUUAAAUAUGUAUGAUCUAUUAGUGCAAAGAAAAUAAGCGUUAUACGAACUUGUGAUAGGGAAGAAAUAAAAGCGACAGAUUGCAUAAUAAAGGUCUUUAUCACAAGAGGCAAUAUAAAGUGACAUUAUUUUGCAUUAAGAUUUUGUACAUCCAACCAUAAAAGCGCAUGACAACCUCUGCUUCCCUCUGCGAAGGGCCUAUCUUUUACUUUUAUCUUCUACCCUUAUACAAGAGUCAUGGUGAUCAUCACCUUUCCUUUUUACACUUUUUCCUUUGGCAAGCACUUUGUGUUGGAGCGAUCCGGAUAUAUAUAUCCACUUGGAUGUAGGUUCUCAUAAAUUAUUAUUGUUGACAUUACCCUUGAGGUAAAAGGUUGGGAGGCGAAACUAUAAGCCCCUAUCUUUCUCUGUGUCCGAUUAAAACUUUGAACCCAUAAAUAUCACAUGAGUGUUAGCAAUUGUGAAAGAUUAAAUGAUAGUUGAAUAUGUGGAGUUUGCUGAAUCAAAGCUCUUACAUAGAUCCUUCCCGAAAAUAAGAUGAAUUGCAAUUGUUUGAUGACUAAGAGCAUUGUUUGUUAGUUUUCAAGAAAGUUUAUGAUCUAUACUUUAACAUGUGAAUAGCUUGUUACUUGAUCAUGAAAAGUUUUAAGAGAUGAGCUACUGUUAUGACAUAUAAUGAUGCUAGAAAAGGUGAUUGAAAUUAUCAUUGAUCAAACUUGUGCACCUGCUAGCAUUCACACAUCAUAAAUUAUUUCUUUUAUCAUUUACCUACUCGAGGACGAGCAGGAAUUAAGCUUGGGGAUGCUGAUACGUCUCCAACGUAUCUGUAAUUUAUGAAGUAUUCAUGCUAUUAUAUUAUCCAUCGUAGAUGUUUUAUAUGCAUUUAUAUGCUAUUUUAUAUGAUUUUUGGGACUAACCUAUUAACCUAGAGCCCAGUGCCAGUUUCUAUUUUUCCUUGUUUUUGAGUUUUAUAGAAAAGGAAUACCAAAUGGAGUCCAAUUGACGUGCCAAUUUUUGUUGAUUUUUUAGACCAAAAGAAGCCCCUGUAGCAAAAGAGUUGGGCCAGAAGAGUCCCGGGCUGUCCACGAGGGUGGGGGCGUGCCCACCCCCCUGGGCGUGGGCCCCUACCUCGUGGACGACUCAGAGACCCCCCUGACGUGAAACCAACGCCAAAAAUUCCUAAAAUACAGAAACGCCUAGAAAAUAACCUAGAUCAGAAGUCCGCCGCCGCAAGCCUCUGUAGCCACGAGAAAUCAAUCUAGGCCCUCUCUGGCACCCUACCGGAGGGGGCCAUCAUCACCGGAGGCCAUGGAGGAGGAUCCCGGAGGGGCCAUCAUCGCCAUGAAGGCCAAGGACCAGAGGGAGAACCUCUCCCCAUCUAGGGGGGAGGCCAUGGAGGAGGAAGCACAAGGGGGAGAACCUCUCCUCCUCUCUCUCGAUGGCACCGGAGUGAUAUCGGGAGGGGAAUCAUCGCCGUGGUGAUCGUCUUCAUCAACAUCGCCAUCAUCAUCACCAUCCUCAUCUAUUUUACGGGGUCCACUCUCCCGCACCCUGAUACGUCUCCAACGUAUCUAUAAUUUUUGAUUGUUCCAUGCUAUAUUAUAUUCUGUUUUGGAUGUUAAUGGGCUUUAUUAUACACUUUUAUAUUAUUUUUGGGACUAACCUAUUAACCGGAGGCCCAGCCCAAAUUGCUGUUUUUUUGCCUAUUUUAGUGUUUCGCAGAAAAAGAAUAUCAAACGGAGUCCAAACGGAAUGAAACCUUCGGGAACGUGAUUUUUGGAACAAACGUGAUCCAGAGGACUUGGAGUCUACGUCAAGAAAUCAACCAGGAGAGCACGAGGCAGGGGGCGCGCCCUCCACCCUCGUGGGGCCCACGUUGCUCCAACGACGUACUUCUUCCUCCUAUAUAUACCUACGUACCCCAAAACUAUCAGAUACGGAGCCAAAAACCUAAUUCCACCGCCGCAACCUUCUGUACCCGUGAGAUCCCAUCUUGGGGCCUUUUUCGGCGCUCCACCGGAGGGGGCAUUGAUCACGGAGGGCUUCUACAUCAACACCAUAGCCUCUCCGAUGAUGUGUGAGUAGUUUACCUCAGACCUUCGGGUCCAUAGUUAUUAGCUAGAUGGCUACUUCUCUCUCUUUGGAUCUCAAUACAAAGUUCUCCACGAUUCUCGUGGAGAUCUAUUCGAUGUAAUCUUCUUUUGCAGUGUGUUUGUUGAGACCGAUGAAUUGUGGGUUUAUGAUCAAGUUUAUCUAUGAACAAUAUUUGAAUCUCUUCUGAAUAUGUAUGAUUGGUUAUCUUUGCAAGUCUCUUCGAAUUAUCAGUUUGGUUUGGCCUACUAGAUUGAUAUUUCUUGCAAUGGGAGAAGUGCUUAGCUUUGGGUUCAAUCUUGCGGUGUCCUUUCCCGGUGACAGCAGGGGCAGCAAGGCAUGUAUUGUAUUGUUGCCAUCGAGGAUAACAAGAUGGGGUUUAUAUCAUAUUGCAUGAGUUUAUCCCUCUACAUCAUGUCAUCUUGCUUAAAGCGUUACUCUGUUCUUAUGAACUUAAUACUCUAGAUGCAUGCUAGAUAGCGGUCGAUGUGUGGAGUAAUAGUAGUAGAUGUAGGCAGGAGUCGGUCUACUUGUCACGGACGUGAUGCCUAUAUAUAUGAUCAUACCUAGAUAUUCUCAUAACUAUGCUCAAUUCUAUCAAUUGCUCAACAGUAAUUUGUUCACCCACCGUAAUACUUAUGCUCUUGAGAGAAGCCACUAGUGAAACCUAUGGCCCCGGGGUCUAUUUUCCAUCAUAUUAAUCUUCCAACACUUAGUUAUUUCUUUUGCCUUUUAUUUUACUUUGCAUCUUUAUUUCUCUUUAUCAUAGAAAUACCAAAAAUAUUAUAUUAUCAUAUCUAUCAGAAAUCACUCUCGUAAGUGACCGUUGAGGGAUUGACAACCCCUUUAUCGCGUUGGUUGCGAGGUUCUUAUUUGUUUGUGUAGGUGUGAGGGACUCGUGCGUGAUCUCCUACUGGAUUGAUACCUUGGUUCUCGAAAACUGAGGGAAAUACUUACGCUACUUUACUGCAUCACCCUUUCCUCUUCAAGGGAAAACCAACGCAGUGCUCAAGAGGUAGCAAGAAGGAUUUAUGGCGCCGUUGCCGGGGAGAUUCGCGCCAAGUCAAGUCAAGUCAAGAUAUACCAAGUACCCAUCACAAACUCUUAUCCCUCGCAUUACAUUAUUUGCCAUUUGCCUCUCGUUUUCCUCUCCCCCACUUCACCCUUGCCGUUUUAUUCGCCCUCUCUUUUCCGCUUGCCUCUUUUUCGCUUGCUUCGUCAUUAUGGCUAGUCCUUUAUCUACUCCUUUAUCUCCCGAGAAUGGAUUUCUUAAUUUUAAACAAAGGGAGGGAGAAAAUCUAAAAGAUGCUUGGUGCAGAAUUUGCAAUGCGCAAAAUAAAUCUACUAGGAGCAAUCUACUUCCGUCCUUCUUCGCAAUUUUUACGUAGGCAUCACGCCUUGGAAUAGAUACAUUCUUGAUACCAUUACCGGAGGAAAUUUCUUGGGUAGCCAUACUUUUGAUUCUUAUAAUGCUAUGAUAGAUUUGUUUGGCCCACCACCUCUUUUGGUUAAUGGAACUAUGUUAACUUUGGAGCAUGUGAUGAAAAUAAAGUUGCUACCGUAGAGUUAAUUGAAAAAUUGGAUAAAAAGAUCCACAACCAAAUUACCCAAUAUGGAUCUAAGGUAGGAGUCACUUUGAAAUUUUUUAAAGAGAAGGAACCCAUGGUUAAUGAAAGAAUAAAUCAAGAUUCCACUAGAAUCGAUAAGCUUGAGGGUAUCAUUACCAACUUGGGAACCGCUUUUUCUUCCGUAAAAAACACUUCAAAUCCUCCUACCAAAAUUGCCAAGUUUAUGUAUGUUCCUAAAAAUAAGGGUGAAUCCUCUAAUAAGGAAACUGCGGAUCUCAAAUCAAUAAGUGUUCAUCCCAAUCUUUUUGCUAUCAUUAAGGAACCAUUUGCUGCAAAUGAUUUUUUUGAUUUCGUUCCUAGAAGUUUGAUAAUUAAUAGAAAGAAAGAAACUCCUAAGGCUUAUAGGUGUCUUAUUGAAGAAUUGCCUACCAAAGAUGGCAAUACCUAGAUCUAUCCUUGCUUUUAUGCCAAGCUAGGGGCGUUAAACGAUAGCGCUUGUUGGGAGGCAACCCAAUUUUAUUUUUAGUUUUUUUGCUUUUUUCUUCUGUUUAGGAAUAAAUAUUUGAUCUAGCCUCUGGUUAGAUUUGUUUUUAUGUUUUAAUUAGUGUUUGUGCCAAGUUAAACCUAUAGGACCUUCUUGGAUGAUAGUUAUUUGAUCUUGCUGAAAAUUCCAGAAACUUUCUGUUCACGAAAACAAUUGUUUAAAAUCACCAGAACAUGAUAAAAUAAUGAUUCCAAUUGCAGAAGAUCAAUAAACAAAUUGUCUAGGUCGUCCUAUUUUGGUAGAUGUUUUUGAGUUCCAGAAGUUUGUGUUAGUUACAGAUUACUACAAACUGUUCUGUUUUUGACAGAUUCUGUUUUUCGUGUGUUGUUUGCUUAUUUUGAUGAAUCUAUGGCUAAUAAAAUAGUUUAUAAACCAUAGAGAAGUUGGAAUACAGUAGGUUUAACACCAAUAUAAAUAAAGAAUGAGUUCAUUACAGACCUUGAAGUGGUAUUUUGUUUUCUUUCGCUGACGGAGCUCACGAGAUUUUCUGCUAAGUUUUGUGUUGUGAAGUUUUCAAGUUUUGGGUAAAAGAUUUGAUGGAUUAUGGAACAAGGAGUGGCAAGAGCCUAAUCUUGGUGAUGCCCAUGGCACCCCAAGAUAAUCUAAGGACACCAAAAAGCCAGAGCUUGGGGAUGCCCCGGAAGGCAUCCCCUCUUUCGUCUACUUCCAUCGGUAACUUUACUUGGAGCUAUAUUUUUAUUCACCACAUGAUAUGUGUUUUGAUUGGAGCGUCUUGUAUUAUUUGAGUCUUUAUUUGUUAGUUUUCCACAAUCAUCCUUGCUGUACACACCUUUUGAGAGAGACACACUUGAUUCGGAAUUUGUUAGAAUACUCUAUGUGCUUCACUUAUAUCUUUUGAGCUAUAUAGUUUUUGCUCUAGUGCUUUACUUAUAUCUUUUAGAGCACGGUGGUGGAUUUGUUUUAUAGAAACUAUUGUUCUCUCAUGCUUCACUUAUAUUAUUCUGAGAGUCCUACAAAACAGCUUGGUAAUUUGCUUAAAUUGAGAAAUUAGUCCUAAAGUAAUAGGCAUCCAAGAUUAGUAAAAAUUAUCUUAUGAGUGUGUUGAAUACUAUGAGAAGUUUGAUGCUUGAUAAUUGUUUUGAGAUAUGAAGAUGGUGAUAUUAGAGUCAUGCUAGUUGAGUAGUUGUGGAUUUGAGGAAUACUUGUGUUAAAAUUUGUGAUUCCCGUAGCAUGCACGUAUGGUGAACCGUUAUGUGAUGAAGUCAGAGCAUGAUUUAUUUAUUGAUUGUCUUCCUUAUGAGUGGCGGUCGGGGACGAGCGAUGGUCUUUUCCUACCAAUAUAUCCCCCUAGGAGCAUGCGCGUAAUACUUUGCUUUGAUAACUUGUAGAUUUCUGCAAUAAAUAUAUGAGUUCUUUAUGACUAAUGUUGAGUCCAUGGAUUAUACGCACUCUCUUCCUUCCACCAUUGCUAGCCUCUCUAAUACUGCGCACUUCUCGCCGGUAUCAUACACCCACCAUAUACCUUCCUCAAAACAGCCACCAUACCUACCUAUCAUGGCAUUUCCAUAGCCAUUCCGAGAUAUAUUGCCAUGCAACUUACCACCGUUCCGUUUACUAUGACACGCUCCAUCAUUGUCAUAUUGCUUCGCAUGAUCAUGUAGUUGACAUCGUAUUUGUGGCAAAGCCACCGUUCAUAAUUCUUUCAUACAUGUCACUCUUGAUUCAUUGCAUAUCCCGGUACACCGCCGGAGGCAUUCACAUAGAGUCAUAUUUUGUUCUAAGUAUUGAGUUGUAAUUGUUGAGUUGUAAGUAAAUAAAAGUGUGAUGAUCAUCAUUUUUAGAGCAAUUGUCCCAAGUGAGGAAAGGAUGAUGGAGACUAUGAUUCCCCCACAAGUCGGGAUGAGACUCCGGACGAAAAAGAAAAAAAAGAAAAAAAGAGGCCAUAAAAAAAGGAGAAAAGGCCCAAAUAAAAAAAAGAGAGAAAAAGAGAGAAGGGACAAUGUUACUAUCCUUUUACCACACUUGUGCUUCAAAGGAGCACCAUGAUCUUUAUGAUAGAGAGUCUCCUAUGAUAUCACUUUCAUAUACUAGUGGGAAUUUUUCAUUAUAGAACUUGGCUUGUAUAUUCCAAUGAUGGGCUUCCUCCAAAUGCCCUAGGUCUUCGUGAGCAAGUGAGUUGGAUGCACACCCACAUAGUUUCUUCUGUUGAGCUUUCAUAUACUUAUAGCUGUAGUGCAUCCGUUGCAUCGCAAUCCCUACUCACUCACAUUGAUAUCUAUUAAUGGGUAUCUCCAUAGCCCGUUGAUACGCCUAGUUGAUGUGAGACUAUCUUCUCCUUUUUUUGUCUUCUCCACAACCACCAUUCUAUUCCACAUAUAGUGCUAUAUCCAUGGCUCACGCUCAUGUAUUGCGUGAAGAUUGAAAAAGUUUGAUAACACCAAAAGUAUGAAACAAUUGCUUGGCUUAUCAUCGGGGUUGUGCAUGAUUUAAAUACUGUGUGGUGAAGAUAGAGCAUAGCCAGACUAUAUGAUUUUGUAGGGAUAACUUUCUUUGGCCAUGUUAUUUUGAGAAGACAUAAUUGCUUAGUUAGUAUGCUUGAAGUAUUAUUAUUUUUAUGUCAAUAUUAAACUUUUGUCUUGAAACUUUCGGAUCUGAAUAUUCAUACCACAAUUAAGGGAAUUACAUUGAAAAUUAUGCUAAGUAGCAUUCCACAUCAAAAAUUCUGUUUUUAUCAUUUACCUACUCGAGGACGAGCAGGAAUGAAGCUUCGGGAUGCUUGAUACGUCUCCAACGUAUCUAUAAUCUAUAAUUUUUUAUUGUUCCAUGCUAUAUUAUAUUCUGUUUUGGAUGUUAAUGGGCUUUAUUAUACACUUUUAUAUUAUUUUUGGGACUAACCUAUUAACCGGAGGCCCAACCCAAAUUGCUGUUUUUUGCCUAUUUCAGUGUUUCGCACAAAAAGAAUAUCAAACGGAGUCCAAACGGAAUGAAACCUUGGGAACGUGAUUUUCGGAACAAACGUGAUCCAGAGGACUUGGAGUCUACGUCAAGAAAUCAACCAGGAGAGCACGAGGCAGGGGGGCGCGCCCUCCACCCUCGUGGGGCCCACGUUGCUCCACCGACGUACUUCUUCCUCCUAUAUAUACCUACGUACCCCCAAACUAUCAGAUACGGAGCCAAAAACCUAAUUCAACCGCCGCAACCUUCUGUAUCCAUGAGAUCCCAUCUUGGGGCCUUUUCCGGCACUCCGCCGGAGGGGGCAUUGAUCACGGAGGGCUUCUACAUCAAGACCAUAGCCUCUCCGAUGAUGUGUGAGUAGUUUACCUCAGACCUUCGGGUCCAUAGUUAUUAGCUAGAUGGCUUCUUCUCUCUCUUUGGAUCUCAAUACAAAGUUCUCCACGAUUCUCGUGGAGAUCUAUUCGAUGUAAUCUUCUUUUGCAGUGUGUUUGUUGAGAUCAAUGAAUUGUGGGUUUAUGAUCAAGUUUACCUAUGAACAGUAUUUGAAUCUCUUCUGAAUUCUUUUAUGUAUGAUUGGUUAUCUUUGCAAGUAUCUUCGAAUUAUCAGUUUGGUUUGGCCUACUAGAUUGAUCUUUCUUGCAAUGGGAAAAGUGCUUAGCUUUGGGUUCAAUCUUGCGCUGUCCUUUCCCGGUGGCAGCAGGGGCAGCAAGGCACGUAUUGUAUUGUCGCCAUCGAGGAUAAAAAGAUGGGGUUUAUAUCAUAUUGCAUGAGUUUAUCCCUCUACAUCAUGUCAUCUUGCUUAAAGCGUUACUCUGUUCUUAUGAACUUCAUACUCUAGAUGCAUGCUGGAUAGCGGUCGAUGUGUGGAGUAAUAGUAGUAGAUGCAGGCAGGAGUCGGUCUACUUGUCACGGACGUGAUGCUUAUAUACAUGAUCAUACCUAGAUAUUCUCAUAACUAUGCUCAAUUCUAUCAAUUGCUCAACAGUAAUUUGUUCACCCACCGUAAUACUUAUGCUCUUGAGAGAAGCCACUAGUGAAACCUAUGGCCCCCGGGUCUAUUUUCCAUCAUAUUAAUCUUCCAACACUUAGUUAUUUGUUUUUCCUUUUAUUUUACUUUGCAUCUUUAUUUCUCUUUAUCAUAAAAAUACCAAAAAUAUUAUAUUAUCAUAUCUAUCAGAUCUCACUCUCGUAAGUGACCGUUGAGGGAUUGACAACCCCUUUAUCGCGUUGGUUGCGAGGUUCCUAUUUGUUUGUGUAGGUGCGAGGGACUCGUGCGUGAUCUCCUACUGGAUUGAUACCUUGGUUCUCAAAAACGGAGGGAAAUACUUACGCUACUUUACUGCAUCACCCUUUCCUCUUCAAGGGAAAACCAACGCAGUGCUCAAGAGGUAGCACACCCGCUGUAAUCUCUACUUGAACAUGGUGCUUUAUGCCACGUAUUAUGAUCCAAUGAUGCGUUGCCAUCCUAUGAUGUUUUGAGUAGAUAUCCUUUGUCUUUGGGUUGAUUGAUGAUCUAGAUUGGUACGAGUUGUAUGUUUUAUUUUGGUGAUGUCCUAUUGUGCCCUCCGUGUCGCGCAAGCAUGAGGGAUUCCCGCUGUAGGGUGUUGCAAUACUAUUAUGAUUCGCUUAUAGUGGGUUGUUUGAGUGACAGAAGCAUAAACCCGAGUAAGGGGGUUGUUGCGUAUGGGAUAAAGGGGACUUGAUGCUUUAAUGCUAUGGUUGGGUUUUACCUUAAUGAUCUUUAGUAGUUGCGGAUGCUUGCUAGAGUUCCAAUCAUAAGUGCAUAUGAUCCAAGAAGAGAAAGUAUGUUAGCUUAUGCCUCUCCCUCAUAUGAAAUUGCAAUGACGACUACCGGUCUUGUUAACAAUUGCCUAGGAUAAUUCCACACACCGAUCCAUCAUUAUUCCACACUCGCUAUUUAUAAUAUUUAGUAAUAUAUUCUACCUUUAUGAUAACAGCACCUACUUUUAUAUUUUAGCUCUCCGAUAUCAUGCAAAGUUAUCCUCUUCAUACCCACAACGUAGUUUUAUUUCUCGUUUCUAGUUGGAAGCAAACGUUCGGUGUACGUAGAGUCGUAUCAGUGGCAGAUAGGACUUGAGAGAAUAUUGAUCUUACCUUUAGAUCCUUGUGGGUUUGACACUCCAUACUUAUCACUUCCACCUUUGGGAAUUGCUACGAUGAUUCCCUGCACUUGGGGAUUAUCAAUCAUCGCUUCCUCAUACUUCGUAGGUUCAUCAUGGUCAUGUAACAUGACUUCCAGAACUGGAUUACCGUACCACUCUGGUGCGGAUCUUACUUUGGUUGACCUACGAGGUUCGGUAGUAACUUGAUCAGAAGUUUCAUGAUCAUCAUCAUUAGCUUCCUCACUUACUGGUGUAGGAAUCACUGGAACUGGUUUGUGUGAUGAACUACUUUCCAAUAAGGGAGAAGGUACAAUUACCUCGUCAAGUUCUACUUCCUCCCACUCACUUCUUUCGAGAGAAACUCCUUCUCUAUAAAGGAUCCAUUCUUAGCAACAAAUAUCUUGCCUUCGGAUCUGUGAUAGAAGGUGUUCCCAACAGUCUCCUUUGGGUAUCCUAUGAAGAUACAUUUCUCCGAUUUGGGUUCGAGCUUAUCAGGUUGAAGCUUUUUCACAUAAGCAUCGCAGCCCCAAACUUUAAGAAACGACAACUUGGGUUUCUUGCCAAACCACAGUUCAUAAGGUGUCGUCUCAACAGAUUUAGAUGGUGCCCUAUUUAACAUGAAUGCAACCAUCUCUAAAGCAUAACCCAAAACGAUAGCGGUAAAUCAAUAAGAGACAUCAUAGAUCUCACCAUAUCUAGUAAAGUACGAUUAUGACGUUCGGACACACCAUUACGCUGUGGUGUUCCGGGUGGCGUGAGUUGCGAAACUAUUCCGCAUUGUUUCAAAUCAAGACCAAACUCAUAACUCAAAUAUUCUCCUCCACGAUCAGAUCGCAGAAACUUUAUUUUCUUGUUACGAUGAUUUUCCACUUCACUCUGAAAUUCUUUGAACUUUUCAAAUGUUUCAGACUUAUGUUUCAUCAAGUAGAUAUACCCAUAUCUGCUCAAAUCAUCUGUGAAGGUAAGAAAAUAACGAUACCCGCCGCGAGCAUCAACACUCAUCAGACCGCAUACAUAAGUAUGUAUUAUUUCCAACAAGUCUGUUGCUCGCUCCAUUGUUCCGGAGAACGGAGUCUUAGUCAUCUUGCCCAUGAGGCAUGGUUCGCAAGCAUCAAGUGAUUCUAAAAGCCCAUCAGCAUGGAGUUUCUUCAUGCGCUUUAAACUAAUAUGACCUAAACGGCAGUGCCACAAAUAAGUUGCACUAUCAUUAUUAAACUUAUAUCUUUUGGCUUCAAUACUAUGAACACGUGUAUCACUACUAUCAAGAUUUAGUAAAAAUAGACCACUCAUCAAGGGUGCAUGACCAUAAAAGAUAUUACUCGUAUAAAUAGAACAACCAUUAUUCUCCGAUUUAAAUGAAUAACAGUCUCUCAUCAAACAAGAUCCAGAUAUAAUGUUCAUGCUCAACGCUGGCACCAAAUAACAAUUAUUUAGGUCUAUAACUAAUCCCGAAGGUAGAUGUAGAGGUAGCGUGCCGACGGCGAUCACAUCGACUUUGGAACCAUUUCCCACGCGCAUCGUCACCUCGUCCUUAGCCAAUCUUUACUUAACCCGUAGCCCCUGUUUCGAGUUGCAAAUAUUAGCAACAGAACCAGUAUCAAAUACCCAGGCGCUACUGCGAGCAUUAGUAAGGUACACAUCAAUAACAUGUAUAUCAAAUAUACCUUUCACUUUGCCAUCCUUCUUCUCCGCCAAAUACUUGGGGCAGUUCCGCUUCCAGUGACCAGUCCCUUUGCAGUAGAAGCACCCAGUCUCAGGCUUAGGUCCAGACUUGGGCUUCUUCACUUGAGCAGCAACUUGCUGCCGUUCUUCUUGAAGUUCCCCUUCUUCCCUUUACCCUUUUUCUUGAAACUAGUGGUCUUGUUGACCAUCAACACUUGAUACUCCUUCUUGAUUUCUACCUCCGCAGCCUUUAGCAUCGUGAAGAGCUCGGAAAUCGUCUUAUCCAUCCCUUGCAUAUUAUAGUUCAUCACGAAGCUCUUAUAGCUUGGUGGUAGUGAUUGAAGAACUCUGUCAAUGACACUAUCAUCAGGAAGAUUAACUCCCAGUUGAGUCAAGUGGUUGUGGUACCCAGACAUUCUGAGUAUAUGUUCACUGACAGAACUAUUCUCCUCCAUCUUGCAGCCGUAGAACUUAUUAGAGACUUCAUAUCUCUCAAUCCGGGCAUUUUCUUGAAAUAUUAACUUCAACUCCUGGAACAUCUCAUAUGCUCCAUGACGUUCAAAAUGUCAUUGAAGUCCCGGUUAUAAGCCGUAAAGCAUGGCACACUGAACUAUUGAGUAGUCAUCAGCUUUGCUCUGCCAGACGUUCAUAACAUCUGGCGUUGCUCCUGUAGCGGGUUUGUCACCUAGCGGUGCUUCCAGGACGUAAUUCUUCUGUGCAGCAAUGAGGAUAAUCCUCAAGUUAUGGACCCAGUCCGUGUAAUUGCUACCAUCAUCUUUCAACUUAGCUUUCUCUAGGGACGCAUUAAAAUUCAAGGGCUUAUUCCAUCUGUGCCCCCAAUUCCUUAGUUGUGCUCAGUUUUCCCCACGCUUCAAACUUUUGCUCACUUUUCCCCACUCCCUUAGCUGAAACUCUCACAAAUGUUCAUAACAGACGUUUGCCGUCUUGGCCAUUAACUGACUUGUGGGGCCACGUUGGACUCUGUUGAUUGUGGCUGUGGCUUCGCUGGUUGGGCCGUGUUUGUGUUCAUAGGACGGGCUCGUUAGUUUGUUGGUAAUAAAUUACAAAAGCCUGCUAUCGAUGGAUGCAGCCUGCUAUGCAUGCCCGGCUUUGGCAUCGAUGUAGCCUGCUAUGCAUGCGAACACCGCCACGCACGCAUCUAGUGACCUAGACCUAAACGCAUGCAUGCACGCCGACACGCACGCAUCGAUCUGUGCUGCACGGUUGCCGGUGGAUUCAGUCGCUCCGCGGCGUCGUUUCACGCGUCGCAGGCAUACGUGCCGGUGGUAGAAGGGGCAGGCUGCACGCACGCUCGCGUCCAUAUGUCGAGGCAUCGGUUCACGCCGCACGGCUGCCGCUCGAUUCAGUUGUGGGAGGCAGGCAGCCGCCAACGCAGAGCACGCAGAAGGGGGAGGCAGGCAGCCGCCAACGCAGAGCACGCAAAGCACGCUCGCAUCGAUUCACGUUCACACAUUGAUGAUCGCAUCGGUUCACGCACGCACUGAGUCACGAUCUACGCCAUUUGCGCGUGUACCCACUUCGUCUCCCCCGGCUAUUUAAACUGCCCUUCAUUGCCUCUUCUUCUACAGAUCCAUCUGCGCCUCCCACUUCUCUUCUUCCCCCCAAAGCCAAAGCCAUUCCACUCAGCGAAGCGUUCAAGAUGCAGUACAACGGGCCGACGUUCCAAGAGCCGCCCACCGUGCCGGAACGGCGGUACCCCGCCAACGUCGUCGUCGAGGCAUCGCUCCGCGUGUGGGCGUUCUCACGCUGGAGGGGUAGCACUGAGCUUGCACGGGGGUUCCUCCGUGCGGGCUUCCACCACCUCCCGGCGGGCUCACCGCCCAUGUUCAACCUCUCAUGGACCAGCGUCCCCACGCCAAUGCUCCAGUGGUAGGGCUCGUCGUCCACUUCACCAACAAGUUCGAGGCCUACUACCUGCUCGACAAGGUGUAUUGGUGUGGGUGCGAGUUCAUCGCAUUCACCACCUAUAACAUCUUCACCGACUUCGAGAGCGUCUUCCCCGCUCGCAACCGCAUGCAUAGCCUCCCGUACUACCUCGGCGACAACGGCCUUGAGGAGGAGUAGUACUGAAGCCGGCGGCGAAGAAGACGGUGAAGCCGGCGGUUAAGGUGAAGACGACGGUGAAGACAUGGCAGUGUUGCCCUAGCUACCCUAUCUACUAUGUACUGUGAGUUUGGUGUGUGUGUUGCCCGACCUAGCUACCCUAUCUAUGCAUGUAAGUUUAAUUAUUAUUAUCUAUCGGUGUCGUGUUAUAUGUAAGAACUUAUGUUGCCCUAGCAACCCUAUCUAAGUUAAGUUAUGUGUGUUAUAUUAAUGCUUUGUUAUGUUUGUAUUUUGUUUGUCCCAAGUUUAGACACGGCUAAUUGGCGUGGGAAAAAUUAACCUAACUAACUAAAAAUGAUGUGUUUAUAGAUGCCUUCUAAAAAUAAGAACAUAUUGUACAUUUGUACACGGCUUUGGUUUGAGAGCUCUGUAUUUUGUAGGUAUUCCAAGAAUAAUUUGGUUUUCAGAAAUAUUGAAGUAUCAAAUACUUUGAGAUGUUUGGCUUUAGUCAAAAGUGUAGUUUUAUAUACUUUAAUAUGUAGAAAACUACACUAUGUUUGAAGUAUAUAAAAAAGAGGGUUGGACCUCUUUUUCAAUCAUGAAGUAUUGGUUCGCUAGGAAUAAUAAUUCUGCGGUUUGCAAGUACUUUGAUUCUAAAAAAUGAAGGGACCCAUAAAGGAAAGCCAAAAAAAUUCCUCAAUGAGAUAGAAGAGAUUGGGCAAUCAAAUUAAUGAAAAAAGCAAUAAGAAACAAAAAAGAACAAAGCAAUCGUUCCUAAACAAAAAAAGAAACAUCGCUUGUUUCUGGGCCUCAUUUAUCCUUUGUGGGCCUAUUGCAGCUUGAUUCUCUUUGGGCCCGCGAACUAGUUUUUUUUCUAGCAGAACUGACGAACUCGAGGACAAAAGUUUGGCAAGUGCGAGAGAGAAGAGAUGAACUUGAUGUAUAUCCCUUGUGCUGCUCAAGUACUGCUUACUGUCAUCUGAUGAGCUAGAGUAUGAUCCAACACUCGAGGUUAUUAGCUAACAAAAUAAUCCUAUCACUGAACUGGUAGUUGUCUUCUGCCGAAACUGAAAGUGUCGAAACUUAGCAGUAAACUGCAUACAUUCAGAGAUCGACAGUUGCACUAAACAGAGUUACAUUUGAGAUAAACAGACUUGGAUUGCUAAACAGUGGCAACAACAGUAGACAAACAUCUCUAACGAGAGAUGGCCAUCAAGUAAAAAAUUCUUAGAGCAAGUAUUCAUAAAGCUAUCAGAUUGGAUUGCUUCUUCAACUCAAUCAGCUGCUUGAAGUUCUUGUUCAUCUUCUUCAAUUCCGUCUUCAGUUCGACAUCUACCACCGUCGGGUAUUCCGGACGCGCUGCUGCUGCCGGAGCGGCACUGUCAUGGGGCAGAUUGAACUCGCGGAUUGGAUUCCCCCUCGAAUCCAGCAAGCCCAACCCUUGAAGCCUCUGGAUGUAAUCAUCCAUCCACUCAAAAUGGUGGCAUUUCUUCACGAUCUGAAAACGAAAUCAUGUAACCUAAAUCCAAAUCUGACAGAUUUUUUGAGAAAUUAGAGAUAAAGGAUGCGAGCAAAACUCAGAUCUAACCUGCCCCUCCGGCUUGCUCUCGCAUUUGACGAACUCGCGCCCAAAGUUCACAUUCUUCUCCUCCUUCGAAGUCAACCACUUCAGUGGCGCAGUCCGUGGGCAGUCAGUGCAUCGAGUCAUCGGCACUGGACCAUACACCGGCCACGUGGAAUGGGGGGCUGACGAGGAGGUCGACAUAUCGCUCGAGAGGAAGAAACAGAGGAAUUGCUCGAGAGGAAGAAGAACGAGAAGAUGGGGAAAGAAACAGAGGAAUUGCUCGAUCUGCUCGAUGCCUUUGUCUGUCAGAUGGAGAAGAGGAGAAGGGGAAGUUAUAUUGACGAUUUGCCACAUUGUAUUUUGCAGUUUGAAUAUUUGAACCAACUCUUAACGCUGACAUGUGGUGGUCAUGUGCGAAAAAUACAAUUUCAUAUGUAAAGUGGGGCAGAUCGUAAAAACCCGAGAAGGACAGUGCAGUAGCCAAUCAGGAUGCAUCACGCGGAUCGCGCAUGCCUGCCCCACAUCUGACGGGUGGUGUUUGGCGCUUGGUAGGAUCCGACGGCGGACGUUCGACGCUAGGGUUUGAAGCAUUUCUGCGGGGUUAUGAGCGAGUCAACGGGGUUAUUAGGGUUUGACCAGAUUCCAAAUGGCCAUAACUAAAUUAGAAAAAUCACAAAAAUAUAAAACAAACGUAGUUCGUCCGUUUAUGAGACCUAGUUACCAUAAAAAAAUAUAAACUCGAUAUAGGGGCGUUUUUUUGAAAAAUCAUUUUUUGAAGUGAUCUGUCGAAAUCAAGUUCAAAUGUUUUUAAAAAAAUUCAAAAAAAUCAAAAUGUUGUAAUUCUUGCGCACAUAGCCGUCAUAUGUGACAAGGUUAUGAGAAAAAAAUAUAAACUUGGUGUAGGUCAUUUUCAUGAAAAAAGGCUUCACACAAAUGAGCUAUCACCUAUGAACAUGUUCAGAGUUCGUAGAAUAGGGAGAGAGGGUUUAGGGUUUGAAAAAAAUCAAAAUAAUUCAAAAAAAUCAGAAAAAUCUCCAUAGCUUCAUUUUGGAGUGAAUAAGAAGGAUCUGAACUUACUUUUUCAUUUUCAUAUCUAAAACGUGUUAUUUGACGGUUUUGAAUUAAAAGCAUAUUUUUUCAAAAAAAAUGUAGUAAUAUGAAUAUUAAUCAAUAAAUAGUGAGACUUCGUUUUUACCCUAUAUAUAUGGAACAAGUGUUAAUAAAAAUAUAUAUGCCUCAAAGGUCAAAAUAAACUUGAUUUCAAAUAGGGUUGUUUACCCUAGCUUUCGAGCUCGUUUCUAGCACAUUUCUCAUUCGGACUGUUCACCUACGAAUAUUGGACUUCAAAUGCUCGAUCAAAUACACCGCACAGAGCAAUGAACCUCCAAUCUUCAACUUCAACUUUGGCUCGAAUCCAAAUUUUGGCCCAAAUUCAAAUAUUGAUUUAAAUUCAAAUUUUGAUGGAAAUUUGAAUUCUGACUCAAAUAAGAAACCAAAGUAGAAGCAACAUUAUUACAACUGAUAAGUUUUCACAGUAGCUCAAAUCUACCAAGUUUUAAUAUGCCAACAUCUUAAUACAAAUCUACCAAGUUUUAAGUGAUCGACUCGCCCUCAAAUUGACAACACAAACAUUUCCCAACAACUUAAUUCAAAUUUUCGACUUGCUCCUUGUGUUUGCAGCUGGCUUCACCGUCUUGCUCCUGGUUUCCCUAGUUGAGAUGCUCUUUUCUUUCAGACUCUUGUUCCUUUUGAUCUUGGGCUGUACUUGGGGUUUUCCCCGUGGAGGUGCUGAUGGAGUAGUUCCACUCGCCGAGCACUGGACGACCAUUUGACGGUCAUCUAUGGGUUCAGUAAUCUUUAAAGGCACAAUUGGAAAAAUUACCCCCUCCUCUUCCUCUCUUAUAGCUUCAAAACCAUCAAAGGCCAUGGUUUCAAAAUCUUCGGCUUCUUCAUCUCUUGGCCUUUUCUCCCUAGAGCUGGUAAAUAAAAUUAUAAGCCAUAGGCAAAAAAGAGAACAAAUGCAAACAAAAGGGUAGCUGCAUUCUACAAAGGGUGCAAACACAUACCAAGAUGCUUCAUUUGAUGCUGCAUUCUCCACUGCUUCAUUUGCUGCUGCAUUCUCCACUGCAUCUUCAGUCUCUAUUGCUGUUGCAUUCUCCUCAGCAUUGGCUGCUGUCCAUCUUUCCUCCUCUCCAAAUGAUGCAUCCACUGCAUUGGUACAAAGCCUAGCAAUAUGCCCCAGAACUCCACAUUUUUUGCAAGCACGCUUCUUUGGUAGACGACCCUCCUCACCUGCUCUAAUCCUCUGGUUCCUUGGUCUUCCUGGUGGUCUAAUAAUGACAGGAGCGUGGAGUUUGAACCCUGGAUCUACUAUGUUCCAUUGAUCUUUCCCCAAUAGUGCAGGCACAUUGUCAGCAUAAGCGGCCAUAAAUUUGGCAACAGAGAAAUACUCAGAGCAAUAUUGAUCAACUUCACCAUCUACACCCCCGAUAACGGUCAUCAGAUGUAGGGCAUGUAUGCAUGGCUUCCCAUGGAUCUGCCAUUGCCUACAAGUACAUUCUCUAGUACUUAGGUUCAUAGGAUACCUUCAUACCCUAUUUUUAGUGUCAGUAUAGGUAACCUCUCCCUCAUAUGUACCAGAUCGAAUACAUUUCAUCUUCAAUCCUCUUGCCUUCAAGUGCAAUGCCUUAAUCAGUGAUGGGAGCAUUUGAUAACCAACAUAUUGUGUUUCUGCAAUUCUUUUGCGAAGAGCCAUCUUUAUCAUGAUCAUUUGCCUCAUCUUGUCAAAUGCUUGCCACAACAAGAGCCCUUUCACUGACUUGAACUUUGAAUUGAAGCAUUCUGCAAGGUUACUAGUCACAUAAUCUACUUUGCAGAUUUCGUUGAAUUUGCUUCUUGACCACACCUUACCAUGAUGUGCAUCCAUGUACUCCUUCACAAGAGGAUUUUGAGCAUACAACACUCUCAAAUGGUGUUCAUGCUUCCUUUUGCUGCAUGUGUAUGAUGCUGGCCAUAAGUUCUCAUCAUAAACUUUACCUUUGAACUUCUUUUUGAAAUUAUGCGCUAGGUGUCGCAUACAUUCCCUAUGCUCCACUCCAGGGAAUACAAUUUCCACUGCACUCUCUAAACCCUUGCAAGCAUCUGUGUGUAUAGCUAAACCUGGUGGUGUGCCUAUAAUGUUGCGCAACUGCUACAGAAACCAGACCCAACUUUCCUCAGACUCUGCCUCCACCACACCAAAUGCAACUGGGAAUAGCCAGUUGUGUCCAUCAACUGCAGAAGCUGCUACUAGCUGUCCUCUCCAUCUUCCAGUCAAAUGUGUAGCAUCUACAGCCAAAUAGGGCCUGCAACCAUCUAGAAACCCCUGCCAGCAAGCCUUGAAACAAACAAAAGCCCUUCUGAAGCACUCCUUCUGAAAUGACUUCCCUUUUAUUUUGAAUGGAACUGUAUGCUUGUCAAUCUCUACAACACUCCCUGGACUUGCCAUCUCCACUUCAGCUUUGAAAGUGUAAAGCAGCUGAAAACUGUCAUUCCAUUGACCAUUAAUUCUGUCAAGAGCCUUUUCCCUAGCAUUGAAAAUUCUCAUGUAAGGAAUUUCUAUCUUGUACUUCUCAAAAAGCUUCCCAUGGAGUGCUGUUGGACCAAGUCCAGGUUCUUCUCUCAGCCAAUCCAGUAUAGCAUCUGCCACCCACCUAGUUUUUGCUAGCUUGGUUUUGGCCUUCCCCCCUCCCCCUCCAGGUGGACAGGUGUGCUUGUGUGGGUUUUUCUUUAUCUGAAACAAAAUAAAAGGGUAAAAAACGGUUAAGAAACCUUACUCAACGAUCUGAAACUAAAUUACUAACUGAACUUGGAUUACCUGAAUAUAUUUGCUCUUUCUCAUACGAGAUGCAUGCAACUUCCACCUACACCUAGGAUAUGGACAAAAAACUGUGAACCUUGCUGGCUAACUCCUUUUAAUCUUAUAGGUGUUUUCAGAUAUAAUGCACCAUGUUGUCACUGCAUUCCGACAGUCCACCAUUGAUUGGAAAAUGGUACCUACACUAAGCUCAGGUUUUCCCUAUUCCACUCAAUUGUUGGCAUGUCAUCACCAUCGUAUUCAUCCUUGAUUAAGCUGUCCAUGUUCUCCACCUUCUCUUCAUCGUCAGUGUCAUCAAACCAAGCUUGGCUGAUGGGCUCCUCCAUAUAUUCGUCAUCCACUGCUUGCUGACUGGCUACAUCGACCAGUUCAGGAAACAUCAUCUCGUCUUCAUCAUCAUUUGUAGGCACAGCCUCGUCAGGUUCUCCAUCUUCUUCUACACCAACUGCAAAAGGUACAUGAGAAGCAGCAGCUGAAUCGGAACCAGAAUUGGCAGCAGGCAUGUUGUGGCUCCAUGAACCACUUGCUUUACUUGGUGUCGACCUACAAGGAGUGCCGGGGUGCUGGCUAUUAGCACAGACAGAUGAUGUCUGAACUCCCUUCCCCUUCGCCCGUUCAGCGCGUGGCUGAAGCACAUCGAUUUGGAGUUUACCAAAUCGGCAGCCAGCAAUCCCAGCAAAAAGCAACGGCAUAUGAUCGUCGCAAGUUAGUGGGAGAAAUCUUUGCUCGUCACUGCUGAAGUAAUUCAGUUCAACAGCAUCGGCAUCACUCCAGGGAUAGGUGUUUAGGAGCUCAGCUCGCAAAUCUUUGAAAGAUAUGCUGGUUUCUACCACUUUGGGGAUAGAAAAAUGAUGAAAUCAAAUGCGGUUUAGUACCACGCAGCACACUAGUUUCCAUUCUAAUCGCCAGCCGGAAAGCCAGCGCGGGAUCAAUCCUAUUUUGUUGAAGGAAACAAAGGCUUCAGUUAGCCGGGUAAAAUCGAGCACAAAUUCGAACGAUUCAAGCAAACAGAAGUCAAAUACGGCCUACAAUACGACUUAGAACGUCAAUUCGAGAGGAAACAAUGCUUACCCAGGCUUAAUCCAUGAAUUAUCUGCCGCGGAUUCGACCCAAUCCUCUCCACGGUCGACUGCAUUCCGGGCGUCCUCACUCAACAUCGCUAUGUAAUCCCAGAUGGGGAGGUGGGCUAUAUCUGGCGGAGACGCGGCGUCGCCGACGAACGGAAUAGGGGCAUAGGGUGGAGGGAACAACUGUGGUGGACGCGGCACGACGCCGGUGGAGGGGGCGGGGCGGCGCGGUGUAGUGCGGCCUGUCUAGAUCUGUUUUAGAUUUAGACAAGCUACCCAAUACGUGUCUCCUUGCAGUCCCACCCGUCAGCAAGCAACAGUCAGACGAAGACUCGGCCCCACUCGUCAGCAAUUAACGGUCAAUGGACGGUCAAGACGGCAAACGCCCGCUAUGAGCAUUUGUGAGAGUUUCAGCUAAGGAAGAGGGGAAUAGUGAGCAAACGUUUGGAGCGUGGGGAAAAGUGAGCACAACUAAGGAACCAGGGGCACUAAUUUAAAUAUCCCAAAAUUCAACGGAACAACAGCACGGGCCAUCUAUCUACAACAACAUAGACAUGCAAAAUACUAUCAGGUACUAAGUUCAUGAGAAAUUAAAGUUCAAUUAAUCAUAUUACUUAAGAACUCCCACUUAGAUAGACAUCCCUCUAAUCAUCUAAGUGAUCACGUGAUCCAUAUCACUAAACCAUGUCCGAUCAUCACGUGAGAUGGAGUAGUUUUCAAUGGUGAACAUCACUAUGUUGAUCAUAUCUACUAUAUGAUUCACGCUCGACCUUUCGGUCUCAGUGUUCCGAGGCCAUAUCUGCAUAUGCUAGGCUUGUCAAGUUUAACCCAAGUAUUCUGCAUGUGCAAAACUGGCUUGCACCCGUUGUAUGUGAACGUAGAGCUUAUCACACCCGAUCAUCACGUGGUGUCUCGGCACGACGAACUGUAGCAACGGUGCAUACUCAGGGAGAACACUUAUACCUUGAAAUUUAGUGAGAGAUCAUCGUAUAAUGCUACUGCCGCACUAAGCAAAAUAAGAUGCAUAAAGGAUAAACAUCACAUGCAAUCAAAUAAGUGAUAUGAUAUGGCCAUCAUCAUCUUGUGCCUUUGAUCUCCAUGUCAAAAGCACCGUCAUGAUCACCAUCGUCACCGGCUUAACACCUUGAUCUCCAUCGAAGCAUCGUUGUCGUCUCGCCAAGUAUUGCUUCUAUGACUAUCGCUACCGCUUAGUGAUAAAGUAAAAACAAUUACAGGGCGAUUUGAUUGCAUACAAUAAAGCGACAACCAUAUGGCUCCUGCCAGUUGCCGAUAACUCUGUUACAAAACAUGAUAAUCUCAUACAAUAAAAUUUAGCAUCAUGUCUUGACCAUAUCACAUCACAACAUGCCCUACAAAAACAAGUUAGACGUCCUCUACUUUGUUGUUGCAAGUUUUACGUGGCUGCUACGGGCUGAGCAAGAACCGUUCUUACCUACGCAUCAAAACCACAAUGAUUUUUCGUCAAGUGUGUUGUUUUAACCUUCAACAAGGACCGGGCGUAGUCACACUCGAUUCAACUAAAGUUGGAGAAACUGACACCCACCAGACACCUGUGUGCGAAGCACGUCGGUAGAACCAGUCUCGCGUAAGCGUACGUGUAAUGUCGAUCUGAGCCGCUUCAUCCAACAAUACCGCUGAAUCAAGGUAUGACAUGCUGGUAAGCAGUAUGACUAUUAUCGCCCACAACUCUUUGUGUUCUACUGGUGCAUAUAACAUCUACGCAUAGACCUGGCUCGGAUGCCACUGUUGGGGAACACAGUAAUUUCAAAAAAAAAUCCUACGCACACGCAAGAUCCAUCAAGGUGUUGUCCACGUACAUAGCAACGAGAGGGGAGAGUGUUGUCCACGUACCCUCGUAGACCGUAAGAAGCGUUAUGACAAUGCGGUUUAUGUAGUCGUACGUCUUUAUGAUCCGACCGAUCCUAGCACCAAAGGUACGGCACCUCCGCCAUCUGCACACGUUCAGCUCGGUGACGUCCCACGAACUCUAGAUUCAGCUGAGGUCAAGGGAGUGUUUUGUCAGUACGACGGCGUGAUGACGGUGAUGAUGAAGCUACCUGCGCAGAGCUUCGCCUAAGCACUGCAACGAUAUGACCGAGGUGGAAAUCUGUGGAGGGGGGUGAGGGAGUCCUGGAUUAAGGGGUCCUCGGGCGUCCGGACUAUGUAACAUGGGUCGGACUAAUGGGCUAUGAAGAUAUAAGACAGAAGACUUCUUCCCGUGUCCGGAUGGGACUCUCCUUUGCAUGGAUGGCAAGCUUGGCGUUCGGAUAUGUAGAUUACUUCCUUUGUAAACCGAUUCUGUACAACCCUAGGCAUCUCCGGUGUCUACAUAAACCGGAGGGUUUAGUACAUAGAGGCAAUCAUAAUCAUACAUGCUAGACAUCUAGGGUUUAGCCGUUAUGAUCUCGUGGUAGAUCAACUCUUGUAAUCCUCAUAUUCAUCAAGAUCAAUCAAGCAGGAAGUAGGGUAUUACCUCCAUCAAGAUUUCCUGAACCUGGGUAAACAUCAUGUCCCCCGUCUCCUUCUACCAUCGACCUUAGACGCACAGUUCCGGACCCCCUACCCGAGAUCCGCCGGUUUUGACACCGACAUUGGUGCUUUCAUUGAGAGUUCCGCUGUGUCGUUGUCAGAAGGUUCGAUGGCUCCAUCAAUCAUCUACAACAAUGUCACCCUGGGAGAGGUUUUUCUCCCUGGCCAGAUCUUUGUAUUCGGCGGCUUCGCACUGCGGGCCAACUCGCUUGGCCAUCUAGAGCAGAUUGAUAGCUACGCCCCAGGUUACCACAUUAGCUUUGGAAAUCUGGACUAUGUCGCUGAUAUCCGAGGAGACUUGAUCUUCCAAGGGUUCACGAUCCCAACCUCCGCUCCGGCCUUUGAUCCGGAGCACAUCGCUGGGUCCGAAGACGGGAUUCUUGAGCCCGUCGGACUAUCUACGGCCACCAAACCCAGUACGGGAGAGCCGGAAGAAGCAGUGUCGCUAGCAACCAUCACGAACCCGGACCCUUCUCCAGACACUGUCUCUGAACCCACGGAGUCAGCGUCGUGUGAGCUCGGCAAAAGAAUCUCCUUCCCACUGUACUCCAGAACUCUCUUCUCACUGGACAAACCUCGCCUUUAAGCGAGGCUCUGGACUUGAUGCGAUCCCUCGUCAUUAUAGAGGAGCAAUGUACGAACUACGCCCAGCCCGGACUAGGGGCUGAGAGCUGGGAAUUUUACGUCCCACCCACCACCCACUUCAUAGCCACUGUCGAGGACUUAACUGACAUGCUCGACUACGGCUCCGAAGACAUCAAUGGUAUGGAUGACGAUGCCGGAGAGGAGCCGGCCGAAAACCCGUCAUUUACCGGACGCUGGACGGCCACCUCUUCGUAUGACGUGUACAUGGUGGAUACACCCAAGGAGGGUAGCGGCUAUGAUAAAGAAGAUCCAGUCGAGGAUAAACCUCCUGAGACAUAGCCAAAGCGCCAACGUCAAUGGUGCCGCUCUAAAUCACGCCGCGAAAAAGUUAGCAAUACCGGCACAGGAGGCAACAACACUCCGGACGAUGCCGAAGACAAAGAAGACCCCGUCGAGCCAACUUUCGAACAGGACGAUCCGGAAGAUGGGCAAGUUAGCCCUGACGAACAGGCCGUAAAUGAAGACUCGGAGGACAGUAAUUAUCUUCCACUCUCCGAGGACGAGGUGAGCCUCGGUGACGAAGACUUUAUCGUACCUGAGGAACCUCUCAAGCAGGAGCGCUUUAAGCGCCGGCUAAUUGCCACUGCAAGGAGCCUAAAAAAGAAACAGCAGGAGCUUCAAGCAGAUCAAGAUCUGCUCAACGAUAGGUGGACUAAUGUCCUGGCAGCCGAGGAAUACGGCCUCGAGCGCCCAACCAAAAGUUACCCGAAGCGUAAACGGCUACCCCAAUUUGACGACGAGGCCCUCGAGCCCACACAUCAUCAGCAUGUAAUGCGGCUGACCGACCACCUCGUGGCCGGGACAAAACGGCAACUCAAGCCGAACACCAGCCCAUACUACCUCGCCGUAAAGGUAGAGAUGUAACAGCUCGGGGAUAUACAUAUGACCUGCGGCAAGACCUGGACAGUAGAGCAGNNNNNNNNNNNNNNNNNNNNNNNNNNNNNNNNNNNNNNNNNNNNNNNNNNNNNNNNNNNNNNNNNNNNNNNNNNNNNNNNNNNNNNNNNNNNNNNNNNNNNNNNNNNNNNNNNNNNNNNNNNNNNNNNNNNNNNNNNNNNNNNNNNNNNNNNNNNNNNNNNNNNNNNNNNNNNNNNNNNNNNNNNNNNNNNNNNNNNNNNNNNNNNGCGAUGACGGCUAUCUAGCCGGACGUGACAAGCAAAAUGACGCCCGGGCCGAAAACCGCACACGGACUCCAUCCGAGCUGCUCGCGACUUGGCCCGAUAUAGAGGCGUCGCACACCCCCUCUGCUUCACUGAUGAAGUAAUGGAGCACGAAUUCCCAAAAGGGUUUAAUCCCGUGAAUAUUGAAUCGUACGGUGGAACAAUAGACCCCGCGGUAUGGAUUGAGGAUUUUUGUCGGUGUCAAAACCGGCGGAUCUCGGGUAGGGGGUCCCGAACUGUGCGUCAAAGGCGGAUGGUAACAGGAGGUGGGGGACACAAUGUUUACCCAGGUUCGGGCCCUCUCGAUGGAGGUAAUACCCUACUUCCUGCUUGAUUGAUCUUGAUGAUAUGAGUAUUACAAGAGUUGAUCUACCACGAGAUCGUAGAGGCUAAACCCUAGACGCUAGCCUAUGAUUAUGAUUGUUGUCGUCCUACGGACUAAACCCUUCGGUUUAUAUAGACACCGGAGGGGGCUAGGGUUACACAGAGUCGGUUACAAGGGAGGAGAUCUACAUAUCCGAAUUGCCAAGCUUGCCUUCCACGCAAAGGAGAGUCCCAUCCGGACAUGGGACGAAGUCUUCAAUCUUGUAUCUUCAUAGUCCAACAGUCCGGCCAAAGUAUAUAGUCCGGCAGUCCGAGGACCCCCUAAUCCAGGACUCCCUCAGUAGCCCCUGAACCAGGCUUCAAUGACGAUGAGUCCGACGCACAGAUUGUCUUCGGCAUUGCAAGGCGGGUUCCUCCUCCGAAUACUCCAUAGAAGAUUUUGAACAUAAGGAUCAUCUCCGGCUCUGCAAAACAAAUUCCACAUACCACCAUAGAGAGUAUAAUAUUUCCACAAAUCUAAUCUGCUGACAACUUUUCAUAACGUGACGUCACGCCAUGGCCCGGUCAUUAUUCGAACCGUUUUUCUCAACCAGCCACCGCACAUAUUGCGAGGCGGUUUUCUUGGCACGUCUUGUCGAAGCAGAGAUCGUGUCCCCUUAUCACGGGAUUCUCAUCAAUACGGGUGUGGGUAACCCAACCGCGCCAUCAAUCAUGGCGCUUGGGGAAUAAGCGAGUUUAUCGGGCCAGUGGGGAGGCACAGGAUCCCUGCUACCUUUAUAAGGGGAUAAGGACUCCCUUUCGCACCCACACUUUCUUCUUCCCGAUUCAUUCCCUCCGCUCGAGCUCCAGCGCCCAAGCGUUUGUCUUCUCCGCCCACAAAGGCCUUUCGAAAAUGUCCGGAUCCGAAGCAGGAGGCAAGUGGAUGGCCUCUACCGUCCGGGAGAAGGAUAUCAAAAAGCUUCGGGAGGCCGGGUACCUGGCCAAGAAAAUCAGCCACCAUCUCCCGACGGCGGGACAGGUCGUCCCUACUCCGGAACCCAUGAGAGUGUUGUAUUCCUCCGUCAUUUUGUCCGCAGGCUAGGGUUUCCCCUCCAGCCGUUCGUUCGUGGCAUCAUGUAUUAUUAUGGGAUCGAUUUUCAUGAUCUAUCCCCCAAUUCCUUCCUCAACAUCUCGACAUUCAUCGUCAUGUGUGAGGCUUUUCUCCGCAUCUUGCCACACUUCGGCUUAUGGCUGAAGAUCUUUAAUGUGAAGCCCAAGGUAGUGAGCGGCGAGCAUGCCGAGUGCGGGGGUGCUAUGGUGAGCAAGAUGCCCAACGUUACAUGGCCAACGGGUACUUUUAAUGAUUCCGUCAAAGAGUGGCAACAGCAGUGGUUUUACAUCACUGAGCCGCGCGGCAUGGAAUGGGCCGCUGCUCUCGAGUUCCGAUCGGGAGCCCCUCUGCGGCUUACGUCCUGGCCCAAGAAGGGCCUGAACUGGUCUUCGUCCGACGAACUGUCGUUGCUCCAGACGCGCGUUAAGGAUAUGGAAGACAAGAACAUCGAACUCGUCAAUGUAGUCCAGGUGAUGUUAGUUCGCCGAAUCCUGCCUUGUCAACACCGGACUUGCAAUCUAUGGGAAUUCGAUCUAGCCAAGCACCAGACCCUGCGAGAGCUCUUUGGCUCCUCGCACAAAGACAUCUGGAAGGUGCUUUUCAAGUCCGGCAAAUCAUGGUCGGACUCGGCCGAGGACCGCGGGUACCAACUGUCCCGCCCUGCAAGCUCGGUAAGUUAUUUUAUGUUUUAUCCGCAUAACCCAAAGGAAAUGCUUAGUGUGUUUUCCUCAACUCCCCUAGGGCUGGACGAAGAAGGCGGAGCGGAUCCACUGUCCGGCCCCACUGCCCGAAGGACCGGCCAACCCACUUCUGACGAAGAUGUUGGUCCCGGCGCCGUAUAAGGCGCCGAAGAAGAAGGCCGAGAAGGAGGCCAGAAAGACCCGGGGUGGCCUUCGUCGCCGCGGCACUUCAGACACAAUAUCCGAAGGUUCCAAUGCCCGUUCUGCCUUCGAAGAGGACGAAGAGGAGGAGGAAGACGAAUCCCCAGCGGGGGGAAGAAAGAAGAGGGCGGCCUCAAUACACUUGGAGGCCGAGUCGCCUAAAAGGGGAAAAGCUCCUCUUCCGGAAGAGUCCACUGCGGCCGCCGACAACAGCCCGGCGUGGGAUCCCAGGGCCCAUCCCCUGGUGAACUCGUGAGUAUAAAAUCCGAACACAUUUACGCGUCCAGUCUCAUCAUGGCGUAAUAUUUUGACCUGAGCCAUAUUUUUUGUAGUCCGGCGAGGUCUCGCACUGAACUAUCCUCAUCAGAGGAUUUGCUGAGCUCGGAUGCUAUGGAGAGCGGGAUGCCCUCAAAGGCCCCUUCCCCGAAACAUGUGGAUAACACUGAGGCUUCGUCCCAGAAGGGCCCCGGCCAAGGAGGGGAGGAAGAGAUCGUGAAAGCGACGCCUGGAGGUCAAACUUCUGGGGCCGGAGACAUGGGGGAAAAGAUUCCCAUGGGAGUCGUCGGCGGGAGCCAUCUUGAAUUUGGCUCCCAGCCGGACGCAAUUUCGGAGACCAAUACGGCUCCAGAAUCAAACAGGCGGCCUCCCUCGGAUGGAGGGGGCUUUCCUGUUCCACCGACAAUCUCUGUCCAACCAGAGGUGCCGGAUGCUUUGUUGGCGGCGCUGAAGAGCGCCUCCAUCCUCGACGAACACUGUGCCCUUAUGGGUGCGGUGAUUGAGAAGAUUCAGUCUGCUGAGAGUGGACUGAAUGAAGCCUGCAUCAGCCUUAUAAGAGGCUUUGAGGUAUGUUUUAUGAGGUUUCGAAGAAUGUCAUAGUAUGGAUAGUAGCCCCUGAUACACUGUUCGGUGAAAGAAAGAACCGGACAGAGGAUCAAAUGUUAUGUUUGCAGGAAGACUCAUUUGGUGACAUCUAUCUCUCUUUUAUAAGCAGGCGUCUGCAACGGCUGCUGCCUCUCAUACUGCGGAGGUCUCCGGACUGAAUCAAAGUCUGGAGCGGACCAAAGAAGAACUUGGCCAGUUGAAAAGGCAGUUGGAAGAUAAUCAAGGUAUGCGCAAGCCUUGUUCGCGUUUGGCGCGAAUGAAUUUCAGUAUGAUAAAAUAUGUUUCGUGAUUUUCUCUAGGGGCGAUGACCAAAGUCGAGGCUCUUAAGAAGGCUGUGGCCGAGGCCGAGGAAAAGGCAGCCGCAGAGCAGGCUCUUUGUGAGAAGCACGAGGCCAGGGUUAUUGAAGCUGAGCAAAAGCUUCAAGAGGCCGUUAAGAAAUGCGAGACCUUGGAGCAGAGUUUAACGGAGAAAGAAUCCGAACUCACCAGGGCUUAUCAGGCCGCACGCAGGGGAAACCCACGGCGCCCUGCAGGAGAUCCAAGAGGCGAGGAAGAUCGCCGCGGGUAAGCCUCUUUUCCACGUAAAUCAAGUAUUUGAGGAGAAAAUCAUGUUUCUAAUUUUGAGUUCGGAUUUCUCCAGGGGUGUUUACGAAUCUGCCCCGCAGCAUAUCGGAUGCCGCCCAAUUCUACCGAGCCGAAGAAAGGAACACUGCGGAUAAGCUCUUCUGGUCGCAGUAUCUGGCACCGAAUUAUCCGGUGCCUUUCGUCGACCAACUGAAAUAGCUGAUCGAACUGCAUAGGGCGGCCGAGCUAGCCAUGAAGGAUUUGAUUAUCCGGCUAUGGCCCGCCGAGCCGAUUCCAAGCAGCUACUUCGGGCUCGUGAAGCGGCUUGUGGGUGCCUGCCCUCGACUUGACGUCAUCAAGCGGUCGUUCUAUAUAGAGGGUGCGCGAAUGGCCUUCGCCCGCGCAAAGGUGCACUGGGGGAAGAUGGAUGCUGA
This 58223-nucleotide long non-coding RNA is filed under the name Triticum aestivum (bread wheat). RNAcentral describes it as "long non-coding RNA (TAES_LNC013767)". Lineage: Eukaryota; Viridiplantae; Streptophyta; Magnoliopsida; Poales; Poaceae. The record is from RNAcentral.